Molecule: long non-coding RNA, 48938 nt
Filed under: Zea mays
Lineage: Eukaryota; Viridiplantae; Streptophyta; Magnoliopsida; Poales; Poaceae
Description: long non-coding RNA (ZMAY_LNC005322)
Source: RNAcentral
AACAUUAUUAAUUCAUUCUCAUUAUAUUAUCAUGGAAAGACAGAAACAAUAUUGAAUUACAAAUGUACCUUCGGCUUGAUAGAAGGUAAAAAGUACAAGCGUGACGCACAAGCGAGUACAAGUCAGCGUGAACAGUACGGGGUUAUUGUUCAUCUAUUUAUAGGCACAGGGUGCCGCCUAUGUAAAAUUACAUUUAUGCCCUUCAUGUUUACUACUGAUACUAGAACAAUCUAUCGAGGACUAAAUAGCCUUUUCCUCUUUAAGUCGGUUCCUUUUCUGCUACUGAGCCGAAGCUUCCUUGUGCGUAGCUUCGGAGCCGGUUCGACCUUCGUCCCGACCGUUCUUUUCAUAUUGCGAACAGCUUCAUCCCGAGUCCGAAGGUUCCUGUACAUAUAUUACACUUGGGAAACAUUGUUAAUCAUGUUUUUGAGGACCUUCGGAAGACGAAGGCCCCCAACAAUAGCCCAUCGCAAUAUUAAUUUGUUAAGAUAACGAAUUCAGACUGCGAUAUGGACGAAGGCCUUAAGCCGAAGGUCCGAAAAAACACCUUUACUUUGCUAGAAUAGCAAUAAACAAUGACAUAUGGGGCCCUCCACUUUGCAGCGUGCUGAAUGUAUAAAUAAGAACUCACACCAGCUGCAUUUGAUACGCUGCUUGUGCCAUUUGCUUUAUUUUCCCAAUUUUAUAGCUCUUGCUCACUAGCGCUUGCUAAUUUUUGAAGCUCCCUGAGCUUCGGUUUAAAACACGAGUUUUCAUCAUUUGUGAAGAAAAAAUGUCUCAAGACAAGAAGGUUGCUGCUGAGAUGAAGCUGACUGAAGAGAAUUUUUUUGAGGAGAAGAAGACUGUGGAUUCUUACAUUGCUGGAUUUGUCGAGUCGAUGGCAAAAACAAAUACGGAGAAGAUUACUAAAGAGAUAUUGGAGGGCUUGUCCGAAGGUACUGGUCACAGCGAUAGCUAUGAUGUGGAAAGUGGGGAAGAAGAUUCUGAGGAUCGGCCCUGGAGGCCAAGUCAUUCAAUCUUCGGAAAAUCGACCAUCAGACAGAGUCAUCUUGAAAAUAUGAGAGGAGGGUACUUUCGGGAUUUGUCUAUUGUGAGGGCUCGCGGCGACAAUAACGUCCCUGCCCCUGAGGAGAACGAAGUUGUGAUUUUCCGAAGUUUCUUCAAGGCUGGGCUUCGGUUCCCUUUGAGUAAGUUUGUAGUUGAAAUGCUGAAGACCUACCAAAUCUUCUUCCAUCAAAUCACCCCCGAAGCCAUAAUAAGGAUGGAGAUUUUUGUCUGGGCAGUAAGGAGCCAAGGGUUAGAGCCAAGCGCAAAGUGCUUCUGUAAUAUGCACGAACUACUAUAUGAGACGAAGGCCAUGGGUAAAGAACAGUACCACAACAACUUCGGUUGUUAUGGAUUUAUUGCCCGCCCCAACGCAAGCCACCCAGUGCUAACAUUUCGGAAGAGAUGGCCCGAAGAUUGGAUGGUAGAAUGGUUUUAUGUGAAGAAUGAUUUGUCAGCGAGGGAAGACAUUAAGGAAGUCAUCAUGCGCCCCAUUUGGUCCCGCUUCGGCCUUCGAAGGCCGAAGGUAGAAAUUGAUGACGCCGCCGAAGCGUGUCAGAAAGCCUUCAGUACUGUCUGCUCAUUCAUUGGUACAAGGGAUUUAAUUCAAGAACAUAUAGCAUUCAGAGUAUGGCCGCUUGUAGAAAUCUGGGAAAUGACGAAGGACACCAUCACUAAGUCUAGCGAAGGUGGUUUGGUACAGUUGAAGUAUACAUUAAGGUUUGGGGAUAAGUUUGAUGAACCAAAUGAUGAAUGGCUGAAGUGUAUCGAAGCUACAAGUGAUGAACUGCUUGGAGCAUAUUCCAAGGCAGAAGAUAAUGCACUGUCCGCAGCCUUCGGAGAUCGGGGAAAGAAGAGACUGAACAGAGUUUUUGACGCCAUUGGCUUUGUUUACCCCGACUACCGCUACCCGCUGCGUGGACAGGGGAAAAGAGGAAAGCUGCUACUUCGGCCACCCCAGAUGAGCCUGUGCCGAAGGGAAAAAAGUUGAAGGUUCUAACUCACCGGCCGCGUUACAUCGAACCGGCCGUGAUACCCGAGUUUUGCGAAGGGGCCUCUUCGGCUGCCAAAACAAAAGAAAUUGUUCCUGCUGCGCAGAGGACUGAAGAGCCGGCUAUAAUACCGAAGUUAGCUUCAGUUGAGCUAGUUGAAAUGAAGGUUGACAAAGAUAAGGCUGAAGGGUCAAAAAUUGAAGAAAUAGCAAAAAUGCCAGAGAUUUUGAGCCCUUCAACAGAGGCAAAAGUGCCGAAGACACAAAAGAAUUCUGCCACAACUCCUAAGAGGAGAAGGAUGGCAAAUGUGCUAGAUGUUGUGUUAGAAACAACAAAAACCUUGAGUUCUACUCCAAGAAAAAUUGUCGAAGCUUCGAAAGCGCAACCCGAAGCUGAAACAAAACAGGCAGAAGUCGAGGCUAUAACAAUUCAAGCUGAAACCGAAGCUGGGCCUUUAGAGCCCGCUGAGACAGAGCCUGCCGUAACUAAAGAAAAGGCGGCAGAGCAAAUUGCGUCUGAAAAGGUUGAAGCUGCUGCUACCGAAGCUUCAAGAGAGAGCACUGAUUACAUCAUUCGUCAUGCUUCGGGGAAGAGACUUUCUCAAGAAGAAAAGCUAGAAGCACUACACUAUGCCCAGAAAUUAAAAUACCCGAAGGGGGCAUUAGUGUUUAAUGGCAGUGGGGAAGAAGAUUUUUUAUACUGUCUCCCGGAUAAUAAAGAGAUAUCCGUCUGCUAGGAGAUAGGUAGAAGCAUCGGAUUCCCGAAGCUGGAAGAUGACCUUUCAAUAUUAUCAAAGGAUGAACUUGCUGACAGCUUGGCGUAUAAUAGCAUAAAGGUAUAAAAGCUAAUUUUGUAUUUUGAAAACGAAAUAUUUUAUUUGCUUAUACUUAAUUCUAUCCUCUUCUUGCAGGGCUUAAUUCUUAGCAAUGCACUUAGGGCUAAAAAAAACAUUGAAGAUGAAGGAUAUACAAUGACUCUGAACAACCUUUGUUCAGAGGUAAUUGAAUUAAGAAACAAAGGUCUUGAAAAAGAUAAAAUAUUGAUUUCAUUGGUAAACAAAGUGAAAGAAGAUGAAGCUAGUUUCAAUGCUCAAGCCGAAAUCCAAAAGAAUGAAAUUGAAGACCUUCAGAAGCAGUUAGCAGAAGCCAAAGAAAAAUGCGCUCUCGCAGAAGCUAACCGGGAGAUCAGUGAAUAUUGGAAAAACCAUUUAGAAAAAAUAGUUGAAGAACUUCGCGCAUCCAAGGAAAGAUGCUUUGAAAAAUCCUUGGGCUGCGUGGAGAAAAUAAAGGCUAGCUUCGCCAACGUGGGCGCCUAUUCUAACGAAGAUAAUUUCAUACGAGGCGACCCUGAAGGUGUUAUCGAAUGGAUAAGUGGAGAGGCCGAAGCUUUCGAAGAAAUAUUAAGUGAUCGCGGGGAUGUCUGCACGUUCUCUGGUGCAAGGGGAAUUUCAGCCAUCCUGGAGAAGGCGGAAUGCGACCACGUCAAGACCCUGGCCCAGGCCGAAGCUGGCUUCUCCGUGGAUGAUACAAAGGAUCCCUCUGCUGAAGCGAGUUUAAUGGGCGAGAAAUUUUACAAUGACAUCUGGGUAAAUGGUGGCCGAGAGAUGGCUCACGAAAUUAUGAAGAAAAGUGAGAAAGACAUCCAUGACACCCGAGUACAAGCAAAACAAGCUGAAGAAGUUGCAGAGCGCGAGAGACGUAUAGGUAUUAUUUCGCGGCAUCUAGCUUCGGCAUUUGUUUUUUGUGGCUUCAGACUAAUUAAUUUUUUCCACUGUAGUUGAACUGUCUCCGCCACCGGAACCGUUCGAUCCUCUGGCCGAUCCAGAAACGAAGGAAGCAUUAGAGAUCAUUAAUAUGGCCGAAUCUAUUGUUGACGAAGUUGUUAACAAAUUGCUAAAUGAAGUUGCGGAGAAGAUCCUGAAAUAGGACUAGUACUUAUUGUAAAAACAUUUUUAGAUGGUCAAUGUAGCUUUGUUGUAACAAGACUGUAUUAUUCGAUGUGUAUAUCUUUGAAUCUAAUAUGUAAAUUAUUUGUAAUUCACUUAUUUGCGAUGCAUGAAACUUUUAUAUACAUAUCGUUUUUGAGCCUUCGGCGAAAAAACACAUUCCCUUCUUUUCAUGCUUCGUAAAGAAAAAGAUCCAUGCUUCGUGAAAAUAUCCAUACUUCGUAAGAACAUCCAAGCUUCGUAAAAACAUCCAUGAUUCGUGAACAAGGGAUCCCUUCUUUUGCAACAGAGCUAAUGAAACUGUAUUUCUCAGCUUACUUUGUGCCUUAGCACAUUUUCAUUUUUAUAGAGCAUUCUACGAAGAUCGACUUUGUAUUCAAUUCGUGUCAUUAGUGCGAUAUGAUGUAUGAUGUGAUGCUAUGCAGGAUGAUGUGAUGAUAUGAUGCAAAGAAUGAUGCUAAUGCCGAAGACACACACCCACACAUCCACGCUGAAACACACAAUCUCUGCGUCCCCUUAGGAACGAUCGAAAUCUCUUUGCCGUUUAUUUUUCGGCUUCACCGCUUAUUUUUUCGUGUAAGUUCUGCAUCCCCUUAGGAACGUCUUUUAAACUUCUUCGCCUUCUAUUUCGGCGGUAUAAGUUCUGCAUCCCCUUAGGAACGUCUUUUGAUCUUCUUCGUCUUAUAUUUCAGCGGUAUUUAGCUCUGCAUUCCCUUUGGAAUGACUUUUGAGCAGAAAACUUACACUGCGCUCCCUUAGGAAUGACUUUUUUUAGCUACGACAAAACUUACACUGCGCUCCCUUAGGAACAACUUUUUGUAGCUUCGGCAAAACUUACACUGCGCUCCUUUAGGAACGACUUUUUGUAGUUUCGGCGAUUUUUAGCUCUGCAUUCCCUUAGGAACGACUUUUGAGCUUCAGCAGUUUUUGAGCUUCGUAAGUCUGUGAAGAAGAUAUAUUCAUUCUGUUAGAAGAGAAACUAUUACAAGGAAUUAAAACUAGAUUUACAUUGAUUGUUCCUUAUUGAAAAACAAAAUGACAUAGAACAUAAAAGUAUUUCGGGGAUAGGAUAUCGCUCAAUAAAUGUGCUUUGAUUCUGGCACAGUACUGUUGACUGUGCGAGCUUCGGAUUCCUCCCUAACUCCCGUAGUUGUUGGGUGUGUUGGUGCCCUUCUGGCUGCUGGCUUCGGGAAUAGGUUGGUUGUAGUGGUGGUGGGGGUGGGAGCUGUGGCCAGGAAGCAUGUGAAUGGCUAGCCGAAGCAGCAGAAGCUGCAGGAUGAUUGCCCACAUAUUCUGGUAUGUAGAGAGAGUGGCACGAAGCAGUGUGCAAGACCUGCUUUGGCUGAUUCUGCCGAGCUUCGGCUUCCGCGAUCUCCUUCUGCUUCUAAAUAGUGAUUUGGCAUAUUUUUGUAGUAUGGCCCUUGUCCUCACCACAGAAUAAGCAAUAAAUCUUCCUGUGCAGAUCCCCAUAUCUUCCUCCGAAGCCCCUGGCACCUCUGCCCCUUGGAGCUGGCGGCCUGAAAGAGCUUUGCUGUUGCCCCGAAGAUUGUGAGGUGUAAUGUGGCCUUUGAAGCUGGCUUCCUUUGUCGUCAUUCUGACUGGAAUUGUGAAUUGACCUCACAUGCCUCAGGUGGAUUCUUCUUUCGAAGCCCCUGGUCAUCUCCGAGAAUCUGUAAGCUUCCUCCCUUCUUUGGCGGAAGUCGUUGUCAGCCUGAAUGUAUUCUUCCAUCUUCUGAAGUAGCUUCUCCAUAGUUUGUGAGGGCUUCCUGGCGAAGUACUGAGCUGUGGGUCCUGGUCGGAGACCCUUAAUCAUGGCCUCAAUGACAAUUUCAUUGGGCACUGUGGGCGCUUGUGCCCUCAGUCGCAAGAACCUUCAGACAUACGCCUGGAGGUAUUCCUCAUGGUCUUGCAUGCACUCGAACAAGGCCUAAGCUGUGACUGGCUUCGUCUGAAAGCCUUGGAAACUGGUCACCAGCAUGUCCUUGAGCUUCUGCCACGACGUGAUUGUCCCUGGCCGAAGGGAAGAAUACCAUGUCUGGGCCACGUUCCGGCCUGCCAUGACGAAGGACUUAGCCAUGACAACUGUAUUGCCUCCGUAUGAGGAUAUUGUUGCCUCAUAGCUCAUCAGAAAUUGUUUUGGGUCUGAGUGCCCAUCGUAUAUUGGUAGCUGAGGUGGCUUAUAAGAUUGCGGCCAUGGGAUAGCCUGCAGCUCUGCUGCUAAGGGAGAAGCAUCAUCAAAAGUAAAGGUAUCAUGACUGAAAUCAUCAUACCAUCCAUUUUCGUUGAAUAGGCCUUCCUGACGAAGCUCCCUGUGUUGGGGCCUUUGGUCUUGUUCAUCUUGAGCAAGAUGACGCACUUCUUCAGUAGCUUCGUCGAUCUUCCUUUGAAGAUCGACCAGCCAAGCCAUCUUCUCCUUCUUCCUUUGCACUUGUUGGUGGAUGAUUUCCAUGUCCCUGAUCUCUUGGUUCAACUCCUCCUCCUGGAGUGUUGGACUGGUGGCCUUUCUUUUCUGGCUUCGAGCCUCUCGGAGAGAGAGAGUCUCUUGAUUUGUGUCCAGUGGCUGCAGUGCAGCAGCCUCUGGCGCAGCUAUCUUCUUCGGUGGCAUGACGAAGGUCAGUGCUUGCCGAAGGUGGUCGAAUGAGUUCACCGGAGGUGGGCGCCAAUGUUGGGGACUUGUUCUCAAAUGCUAUGAAUUAAGAACAAGGCAACAUAAAAUGUUAAAUGUUAAUGCCCUUCGUUUUUCGAAGCAUUAUUUCUCUUAGGACAUAAUGCUCUCCAGACGAAGGUCAUGAAGGACAUACCUUCGUCAUCGCGGUAUAUGUUAAUAAAAGAAUAAGCAUAUGAAAUAUAAGAGACAACAUAAACAAUUAUAUAACAUUAUUAAUUCAUUCUCAUUAUAUUAUCAUGGAAAGAAAGAAACAAUAUUGAAUUAUAAAUGUUCCUUCGGCUUGAUAGAAGGUAAAAAGUACUUGCGUGACGCACAAGCGAGUACAAGUUAGCGUGAACAGUACGGGGUUACUGUUCAUCUAUUUAUAGACACUGCCUAUGUAAAAUUACAUUCAAGCCCUUCAUAUUUACUACUGAUAUUAGGACAAUCUAUCGAGGACUAAAUAGCCUUUUCCUCUUUAAGUCGAUUCCUUUUCUGCUACUGAGUUGAAGCUUCUUUGCGCGUAGCUUCGGAGUUGGUUCGACCUUUGUCCCGACCGUGCUUUUAAUAUUGCGAGUCCGAAGGUUCCUGUACAUAUAUUACACUUGGGAAACAUUGUUAAUCAUGUUUUUGAGGAUCUUCGGAAGACGAAGGCCCCCAACAGUCGCAUAUAUAUAUACCAAAAAUCAAUAGUGCACAUACGCAUGAAUUCGAAAUCACGACAUUCUCAUAUUACAAUGAUGAUUCACAAAAAUUCAUCAAUUAAAUCAAACAUGAUUUCUUGGGUUCUCUCUUGUGGAGGGAGAAGCUCGACGGGGCGUUCGGCCGAGUGGGGAAGGGGCAGGGAGGUUUCGGUCGAGUGGCCGGGGACGGGCGGCGAGCUCGGGCUCCGACGACGGUCGAGCGGGCGUGGCUGCUCCGGUGAGGCGGUGGUUUGGCGUGACGGUGAACGGCGAGCAAGGGAGAGAGAGGGAGCGUGAGAGAGGGAGCGUGAGAGAGGGAGGGCGUUCGGGUAAGGAGAGAGGGAUCCGGCGGGUUUUAUACAGCGAAUGAGGGAGAGGGAGAGAGGGAGAGACGUCGAGGGGAGGAAGAGAACGGUCGGCGACUCCAUCAAUGGACAUCAAUGGCGCUGUUGUUUCUUCUCAGCAUCAAUGGAGAGAGGAAUGGGGGAGGGAGAGGAGAGGAAUCCGACCGUUUCCGGUUUCCGUCGCGGCUUCCGAGCGGGCGCGGGGUCAGCACGCAGGGCACGAUGGCGCUGCUUCCUGGCGGCGCGGCGCGGCGCGGGGAGGGAGAAGAUGCCGGGUGGGCCCCGCCUGUAAGUGGGAGGCGGCGGGAGGGUUAGGGCGUGGCGGCUGGGCCUAAUGGGCCGGCCUGGCCGCGGUUAGGGUUAGGUUUUCCUUUUCUUUUUUUCUAUUUCUUUUCUAUUUCAAAAUAUAUUUUAAAUAACCCUAAAAUUCAUAAUAAUUAUAUCAAGAUUAUUUAUAACUAAAAUAUUUAUUUUUGGGGACUAAUAAUUAUUAUAUUAUUUAAUUGGAUUUUCAUUAAGAAGGAAAUUCUACUAAAUAUCCAAAAUCAAACAUGACUAAAACCAAAAAUUAUUCUCUAUGCAAAAUAAAAAUCAAACAUUAGAAAGAAAAUUUAUUACCCUAAUUAUCAUAAUCUUAAAUGUAUUAUUUUAGUUGAUGGUUUUUAUAGUGUUACACCUGGAUAAUAUUUUGUGAUGGGUCAUGGGGAACCUUCGGCGCAGGAGCAGAUGCCGUGUUAAUUUCACCAUCUAAAAUCAAAACCUGCUAUGCAGCAAGGUUAGACUUCAACUGCACAAAUAACAUUGCAGAGUACAAGGCCCUUCUCUUGGGGCUUCGAAAACUUAAGUCAAUGGGAAUAAGAAGGACAAUACUCAAAUCCGACUCACAAGUCAUUUCCGGUCACGUUGACAAGAGUAGUAAAGCAAGGGACCCGAAGCUAGAGAAAUAUCUGGACGCAAUCCGAAUGAUGGAAGCCUCUUUCAAAGGUUUCUCUGUAAAAAACAUCCCAAGAGGAGAAAACGAACAUGCAGAUUUGUUAGCUAAGUCAGCGGCACAAGGGGGCUUCCGUUACCUUCGGAGUUAUUUUUCGAAACAAUAAAAGCACCUUCAAUCGAACUCAUGGAGAGAGCAGUGCUUACAAUCUCGCCAGUACACAGUGAAGAUUGGAGGACUGAGAUUGUAUCUUUCCUCCAAGGUAAUUUCCUUUCGGAUCACGAAGUUUAUAACAAAAGAAUGGAAGCAAGAGCAAGACCCUAUAUAAUCAUAGAGGGAGAGUUUUACAAACAAAGAGUCUGCUUUCCAUUAAUAAAAUGUUUGUCUAGAACCGAAGGUCAAAAACUAAUGAAGGAGAUACAUGCAUGAUUGUGUGGAGUUCAUAUUGGGUCUAGGCCUUUGCUGGGGAAGGUUUUCAGACAAGGAUUUUAUUGGCCGAAGGCAGCUCCGAAUGCAGCAGACUUGGUUCAAAAAUGUGAAAAUUGCCAUACAUGUGCCAAAGACCAGAAACAACCUUCAUCUUUAACCUUACUAAUACAGCCCACUUGACCACUGCAAAGGUGGGCCUAGAUUUGCUAAACCCACUUCCACCAGCAUAAGGUAACUUGAAAUAUGUUGUGGUAGCAGUGGAGUACUUCUCCAAGUGGAUCGAAGCUAAGCCCCUAGCUACAAUAACUUCAGCCACAGUUCAGAAGUUCUUUUGACAGAAUAUUGUUUGUCGCUUCGGUGUGCUGAAAGCUAUCACGUUGAUAACGGAACUCAAUUUGAUGCCGAAACAUUCAAAACCUUUUAUGACCAGAUUGGUACAAAAAAUACACUUUGCAUCAGUGAGACAUUCAGAGGAAAUGGACUGGUAGAAAGAGCAAACAAAAUUAUAAUAACAGGAAUAAUGAAGUCAAUCUUCAAUCAACCCAGAGGAAAGUGGUCAGACAAAUUAAUAAAGGUGGUGUGGAACCACAACACUGUUGUUUAAAGGUCAACAGGUUUUACCCCAUUAAAGCUUAUGUUUGGUGACGAAGCAAUAACACCGGAAGAAGCAAGAAGGGGCUCAAUAAGGACCUUAGCUCCGACAGAAGAUGAAGAGAAUUGCAAAAUAACAAAAGAUACCAUAGAAGAGACCAGGUUCCAAGCAGUAGACCACAUCAAUAAGUAUCAGGAUGAAACAAUCAAAUGGCGUGACCAGAAGGUAAAACUGAAGAAUAUCAAGCCAGAGCACCUAUUGCUUCGGAGGGUAGCCAAUCUUGAUAUAGUGGGAAAGAUUCAGCUUAAGUGGGAAGGUCCCUUCUUGGUAAUAUCUUCGUCAAGGCCUGAAUCGUACAUGUUGAAAGACUUUAUGGUAAUGACAUUCCAAGGUCUUGGAAUGCGGAUGAGCUUCGGAGAUAUUAUGUGUAAACUAUGUAAUUUUUUCAUUCUUUCCGUAUGGCACCAUUUUCCUUUCAAGAGGGGAGAAAGAUUUUUAAUGGGGCCAUAGGUUGUAAUUUUUUUCUUGUGCAAUACAAGGGCCAAAUUCCUCCACAUGUAAAAUGUAAAAUCUGAGACUACACCAUCGAGUGUAAAAAGCUAUGAAGAAGCUCAAAAGUCGUCCCUAAGGGGAUGCAGAGAUAAGAUGCCACCUAAAUAAAAGGUGAAGAAGCUCCAAAGUCGUUUCUAAGGGGAUGUAGAGCUUAACUGCCAGCUAAUUCAAAGGUGAAGAAGCUCCGAAGUCGUUCCUUAGGGGAUGCAGAGCUUAGCUCCAAAGUCGUUCGUACGGGAAUGCAGAGCUAAAAUACCACCUAAGUAAAAGGUGAAGAGACUCCAAAGUCGUUCCUAAGGGGAUGCAGAGUCUGGGUGUGUAUUCGUGUGAGUUUUUUAUCUUCGACAUACAUUUGCACACAUAAUCACAUCAUCUUUUGCAUUCAUACAACCAUACAUUAGGCAUUCGUAGGUUAAUCAUCAUCACAUAAAGCAUGAAGCAUUAACAGGAAAAGUGGGGAUUCUUGCCUUCAAUGAGAAAACGCUUCAUUUUAUACGAAGGUGCUUCGUUUCAAAGGAAACUUCGUUUUAUACGAAGGUGCUUUGUUUCAAAGGAAACUUCGGUGUAUACGAAAGGUGCUUCGAUGUGAACGAAAUGAAGCGAAGGUGUUUUUCGUCUUCGGCUCAAAACCUACAAGUGUCGGUUUCGUCCACAGCAAAGCAGAUGAUAUAUAAGCGAAAGGUAAAUAGUAUUACAAGGCAUUUACAAACAUUUACAAUUCUGCUCUCAUUACAGUUACAAAUAUUACAUUUCUUGUGCUAAAGAAUUUCCAAAGUGUUUUUACAGAAAUCAAGGAAGAUCCUAAGAAGACUACUCUAAAGCUUUAGAUUUAGCUUCGGAUCAGUGGCCUUCGGCAUCAUCACAAUGGAGAAUGACGAGGAACAGGGUAAUCAAGAACCUGGUAAGGAGUCAUGUAAAAAAAAUAAAGGUAAAAGAGCUAUACUUUGUUAAGUAGGUUUCGGGAUUCGUCUCUAGCCAACUCGCGUCCACCCUUAGCGCAAAUUUGAGUGAUGAACAUGUUCCCUAUGCUUCGGCCUUCGGCUAGAACGUCAACCAGAUCCGAUGACGAAAGGCUAAAGUUCGGUCUAUUGACAACCUUUGCGUGAUUACACUCGGCCUUUAUGAAAGCAGUGACUAUACCACGAGAAGCCACCAGCGUACAUAAGUCUCCAUGGCCGGUGAUAACUUCAUCGAGGACAUCGACUUCUUUCUCUACGCAUUCGAGGGUCCCGGGGAUAUCUUCGACAGAGAAGUUAGCUUCUUCAGAUGCAGCUCCAACUGAAUUGAAUAUGAUUUUCAAUCGAGUGGUGCAUUGUCUUGCAAAGUUAAAGCAUCUCUCCUUAAGAGCUCUCAACGCUUCACUGAGCUUCGAAUUCUUCUCAGCCUCAACCUUAAGUUACAUUUUCAAAAUUUUAGAUUCUCAGUUGAAUCGGUUGGAAGUUUCUUCUAAAAGUAUAUGUGCAUCCGCCAGCUCUUAGCUCAAUUUCUUAUUUUGAGCUUGCGCUUCGGGAAGGGAUCCUUCGGCUGAGCGCAGCAACUCAUCCUUUUCUGUUAGAGAAUCCUCAAGUUCCUUGAUUUUAUCCUCUAAACCUUUGACAAUAGCUUCGUUUUUCUAUCCUCAUUAUCUUGGUGCAUUUUUAAAGCUUUGCUCAGUAACAAGCUCUGUAGAAACAAAUUCAAAAUUAAAAUACUUAAGCUAAUACGAACAUAUCAGUGAUAACUUGUAGAAAAGGUUCUUACUUUGAAGUUAGAAUAAAACAGGCUGCCUAUGAUAUGCUGACGCAUGUAGUAGCUGAUGUCCUUCUCAAGCUUCAGGAAUCCAACACUCUUCGACAGGGUGCCUAUAAUUUUCGCACCAGCACGAUCAUGGAUGCAUCCCACGAUUCUUUCGUCAACCCCGCCAAAGAGCACCGACCCCGGUUGUUAACCGCACGAGAUCGCAAAUUCUUUCAACUCUGAUUUGUCCUCAUCAGAGAGUUGUUGGCCACCCAGGUGUCGUAGGUCGAAAUUCGCUCCCUCUAGAGAGGAUUCAUCAAUCUUCUUUCCCUUGUCUGUAAUUGUCGUGACCAUCUCCUUCUCCACAACCACAUCUGAUAUAAGUCUGUCGAUUUCGAACAGAGUGGUUGUAAGGUUUUCACCUUCGGCUGUAGCAGUGGCUUCGACAUCAGUCGGUUUGGCAGCUUUGCUUGCCGAAGCUGGAGGCGGGGUUUGUUCAAUUGCUUGUAGUAUAUUCACAAUGCGUCGUUUCUUCUGGCCCCCGUCUCUCCCUUUAGCAGUCGAAGAUACUUCCUUUUUAUGUAAGAGGCUGGUCAGUUCCAAUCCUAGAGGACUUAGCGGUGUGAAUGGGAAGGACUCAGUCAUUACCUUCAAUAUUUCUGAGACCUCAGCAGCAGAAGACGAAGGGCUUGCAAUUGGUUUCAGGACAUCUUGUGUCUUCGUCUUCUCCGAGGAUUCUACAGCAAGCUUCUGUUUUUAGGAGUCAAUGCCUUCGACACCGACACUGUUUUCAUCUUCUUCAAAGUUUCUUGGUCUUCCUUGAUAGACCGGAUAGCUUGCCUACACAGAAUGCUGACAACCCUUUUUCUUUUCGCUCCCCCGACCCCUUCGUCAAGUCUGUCGUAAUCUAGGUAUUCAAAAUUCAGGGCAUCCAUCACCCGAUUCAACCUUCGUUUCGGCCGGGUGUCGAAUGCAGCAGUCAUUAAUUCAUCUUCUUUCUUUGUAUGAUUUCUGAGGAUUUCAUUGCACAUGGUUUCUAUCAUUUCUAACCAUUCAGAACAUGGUUUUUUGAAUUGCUUUUUAAAUUUGAAACAGUAGGAAGUCGAACAAGUUCAUAUUUUCCCUCCUUCCUUCUUAUUUAGCAUCCCCCAACCGCUAGAGGUUGGAAAAGUUUUGUUUGCCAGAUAUUCCUGCACUAAGUCCCAAGUGCUAAUAUGACCAGCUACCACCCUGAAUUCUACUUCGGGCAGCUGGCAUGGGGAGCCGAGUUGCAUGUUGCAUAAUGGCCUCGUCAUGCCGAAGCUUAAUCUCAGAGGACUCAUUACCAUAGUCAUGAGUUUUUCUCUCUACUCAUCAGCCUUCACGUAGAACCAUUCGCUAGUCCACCUGGUUGGCCAUUUAGUGCGGUAGCCGAUCACCGGGGCAUUGGUGUCCUUCCGGUAUGCAAAAUUAUAGCACCCGAAGUUUUUGUGCAGACCAUCGGCUCUGGCUUUCGUCUGAUAGCGCAGCUCAUGUACUCGGUAGAACCCUUCGGCAUUCGCACUUUUACCCUGGCUUCGGAAAGCCCAUAUGUAGACACUGAGCCUCACAAUGGCAUUCGGUAUCAGCUGAUGAAGAUAUAUUUCAAAUCUUUUCAAAACUUCUCCUAUCAUAUCGUACAGGGAAAACCACAGCCCUGCCCUGAAUAAGCUCCUAAACACAACAACUUCAUCUUCUUUCGGCUCUAGAAUCAAUUCUUCGCCAGCAAAACGAAUAAGUUUACCUUCAUCUCCCCCAAAAUAGCCCACCUUUUUCAUCACAACUAAGUCCUCUUCUGUUACGGUCGAUUUUCCGAAUUCAAUGUGACUAGGUUUUGAUGGGCUUAGAUUGUUGUUGUCCUCCUCACUUUCAUUAUUACUUCCGCCUUCGGCCACUGUCUGCUCAGCUUCGGCAGUAGCACCUUCGACAGUAGUUUCUUCCGACACAACCAGACCUGAUCGUCUCAUCACUUCUGAUAUCGGUGUUGUUUCAGUCACUUCGGCCUAGCAGUGGAUCUUACUCGGGCCAUUUCAGUGUUUAGACUACUUAAGAUGAAGCUAAUUUCAAGUGACGAAGAGCUUGUUCGGAUGCGCAAUCCAGAAAGCUUCGGCUUCAGUUAAAAUUUUUAACAGCACAACAGUGCGAUGGCAAUGAAUGCUAUGGUAACUUCUCACCAACCUGUCUGCUUAUAUAGUGUUGCAGGAGAAGAAGACGAACCGCCAGACCGUCUACACUGGUUGAACGGUGUACCGCAUAGCGCCCGGAAGGUGUUUUUUGGACCUUCGGCAUUCUGAAGCCUUCGUAUUUUUCGUGGACCGAGCUCGUUACGAAAAAACGAUCUAGCAUCGCAAAGGGGCUACUAUUGGGGGUCUUCUUCUCCGCCGAAGGUCCUCAAGACAUAAACACCUUUGGCAAAAUGCCACAAGAGGUCCGCCCCACUUCUGCCGAAGGUUCUCAAGACGAAGACAUCGGGAAGAAGCAACAAUGCAGAAUGUCAAAGCUCAGUAGCUUCGGCUCAGAUCAAGCAAAGAAGGAAAAGACUAGAUAGACCUUAUUAGUUUAAGUUGCUUAUAAACAAAUGUUUAAGGGCAUCGAUGUAAUUUUACCCGGGCUACGUCCCGUGCCUAUAAAUAAAUGAACAGUAACAUCGUACUGUUCAUGCUGGAUUGUAAUUACUUUCUUGCGUCUUCACCUUCGAGCAAGCCGAAGGUAUCAAUGUAAUAUUAAUCCUGCUAAUAUUUAUAUGUACUAUGUGGAAUACAAAUACGAAUGAAUUAAUAAGAUGCAGUUACUGUCUUCAUCCUUUCGUAUUCUUAUUCACAUAUUAAGUGAUGAAGUAUGUUGGGGACUUGUCCUUAAAUGCUAUGAAUUAAGAAUAAGACAACACAAAAAUUGUUAAACGUUAAAGUCCUUCGUCAUUCGAAGCAUUAUUUCCCUUGGGAUAUAAUGAGUUUCGGAUGAAGGUUAUGAAGGACAUACCUUCAUCAGCACAACAAAUAAUGAAGAAGGAUUCAUAUAAAGUAUAAGAAAUAACAUAAAUACUUAAAUAUUAUUAUUAACUUAUUUCUAUUUUAUUAUUAUGGAAAAAUAGAAAUGAUAACAAAUUACAAAUGUACCUUCGGCUUCAAAGAAGGUAAAAGUACAAGCGUGACGCAAAAGCAAAUGCCAAGUCAGCGUGAACAAUACGGGAGCACUAUUCAUCUAUUUAUAGGCACGGGACGCAGCCCAUGUAAAAUUACAUACAUGCCCUUUAUAUUUGCUAAUAACUCUAUAGUAAUCCAUCGGGGUCUAAAUAGCCUUUUCCUCUUUAAGUCGGUUUCCUUUUCUGCUAUUACACCGAAGCUCCCCUGCACAUAGCUUCGGCUCUGCGCCAUCCUUCGUAUUCUUUGUGCUUCUUCACACUGUGGUUUUGACCUAAGUCCGAAAGUACCUGUUCAUGUAUCAUACUCCAGAAACAUUGUUAAAUCAUGUUUUUGAGGACCUUCGGAAGCCGAAGGCCCCCAACAGUAGCCCUCGCAAUAUUAAUUUGUUAGAAUGAUAAAUUCAGAUUGCGAGAUGGACAAAGGCCCUAAGUCGAAGGUCCGAAAAAACACCUUCCCUUUGCUAGAAUAGCAACAGUUAUUGACAAGCGGGGCCCUCCCACUUGCAAUGCACUAGGCGUAUAAAUAAGAGCACACCGCGAGCUCAUUUGGCACGCUUUUUGCCAUCUGCUCUGCCUACUCAAUUUUUAGCUCUUGCGUACAAACGCUUUGCCUGGCUUUUUAGAUUUUUUAGCUUCGGCCUCAAGAGCACAUUUUCAACAUUUUCGAAGAGAUGUCUCAAGAUAAGAAAGCUGUUGUUGAAACGAAGCUGAGCCUUUCUGAGGAGAAGAAUCUUGGCUUUCUUGAAUCAAUAGCGAAGACAAAUACAGAGAAGAUUACUAGAGCGAUUUUAGAAGGCUUAUCUGAAGACACUGGUGAUAGUGACAGUUAUGAUGUGGAAAGUGGUGGCGAAGACUCCGAAGAUCGACCCUGGCGACCAAGUCAUGCAGUUUUCGGUAAAUCAGCUAUUAAACAGAGUCAUCUCGAUAAUAUGAGAGGAAAAUAUUUUCGAGAGAUAUCUCUGGUGAGGGCUGACAAUGGAGAGAAGGCUGCUCCUACUCCCGAAGAGAAUGAAGUUGUGAUCUUCCGAAGCUUUUUCAAAGCUGGGCUUCGGCUCCCCAUAAGCGGAUUUGUGGUUGAAGUUUUAAAGAUAUUUCAGAUUUUUCUUCACCAAAUUACCCCCGAAGCAAUCAUAAGAAUGGGAAUUUUCGUCUGGGUCGUGAGGAGCCAGGGCUUGGAGCCAAAUGCAAAAAGUUUCUGCAGUAUGCACGAACUGUUAUAUGAGACGAAACCCUAGGGCAAAGAGCAGUAUCAUAACAAUUUUGGUUGCUAUAGCUUCGUCGCUCGUUCUGGCUCAAGCUGCCCUGUGCCAACCUUUGGGAAGAGAUGGCCUGGGGACUGGAUGAAGGAAUGGUUCUACGUAAAAAACGAUUUAAAGGCACAAGAAGACAUUAAAUAUAUUAUCAUGCGUCCUAUCUGGCAGCGCUUCGGCCUUCGGAAACCGAAGGUAGAAAUUGAUGAGACAGCCGAAAGAUGCCGAAGGGCCUUCGGCACGGUUUGCUCUUUUAUUGGGACAAGGGACCUGAUCCAGGAGCACAUAGCCUUCAGAAUAUGGCCACUUUUAGAGAAGUGGGAAAUGCCGAAGGAGACUAUCACUAAGACUAGCGAAGGAGAGCUGGUUCGACUGAAAUACAGCUUCAAAUAUGGAGAUAAAUUUGAUGAGCCAAAUGAUGACUGGCUGAAAUGUAUCGAAGCUACAAGUGAUGAACUGCUCGGACCGUACUCCAAAACGGAAGAUAAUGCUUUAUCUGCGGCCUUCGGGAGCCGGAAAAAGAAGAGGCUAAAUAGAGUUUUUGACGCCAUCGAAUUUAUGUAUCCUGACUACCGCUACCCGUCGAAAGGGCAAAAGAGAAAAAGUGCAACUUCUGGGAAAGGUGAUGCUUCAGCUGCUCCAAACGAGCCCGCGCCAAAGAGGAAAAAGGUGAAGGUCCUUACUCACCGACCGUGCUUCAUUGAACCGGCCACAGUGCCCGAAUUUGGUGGUGAGACCUCUUCGGCUAUUGAAGCCAAAGGACCUGCUCUUACACAGAAGAAUGAAGAGCCGGCUAUGAUGCCGAAGGCCGAUAAUAUUAAAGAGAUAGAGGCCGAAAAAACAAAGAUAUUAAAAGUUAUAAGCCCUUCGGCAAGAAUGACAGUGCCGAAGGCACAAAAAGAUCUCACGACGACUCCCAAGAGAAAAAGGAUGGUCAAUGUACUAGAUGUGCUGGAGACAAUAAAGUCUUCAAGCACCGCUCCGAGGAAAACUGUUGAAGCGUCAAAAACGCAAAUUGAGACAAAACCAUCUAAAGCCGAAGCUGCAAAGAGCCAGACCGAGACCAAAGCUGGGCCUUCAGAGCCCGUCAAGGAGAAAUCCUUGGAAACCAGAAAAGAGGAAACGAAAAAAGAAACUGCAGAGCAAAUUCAGUCUGAAAACUACUAUUCCUACUCCCGAAGCAUCUUGCCAAGUUCUUGAUUAUAUUGUACGACAUGCUUCGGGAAAAAGGCUAUCUGAAGAAGAAAAGCGAGAAGCUCAAUACUAUGCCCAGAAACUGAAAUACCCGAAAGGGGCAUUGAUAUUCAACGGCAGCGGAGAAGAAGAUUUCUUGUAUUGUCUCCCAGACAGCAAGGAAAUCUCUGUGUGCCGGGAGAUGGGCAAAAGCUUCAGAUUCCCGACACUAGAAGACGGGCUCUCGGUGCUAUCAAAAGAUGAAUUGGCCGACAGCUUAGCAUACAAUAGCUUAAAGGUGAGAAAAUGAGAUUUUUGUACUUAAAAACAAAAUUUUUCCAUUUACUUAUACUUAAUACCGCACUCCUUUUGUAGGGCCUUAUUCUCAGCAACGCCCUCAGGGCGCAAAAAAGUGCUGAAGACGAAGGAUGUACUAUAGCUUUGAACAACCUUCGUUCCGAAGUAAUUGAGCUAAGGAACGAAAGUCUUGAAAAAGAUAAAAUAUUAAACUCAUUAGUGAAUAAAAUAAAAUAAAACGAAGCUACUUCCCAAGCCCGAGCUGAAGCCCAAAAAUGCGAAAUUGAGGAUCUUCGGAAAUAGAUGGCAGAAGCGAAAUUAAAAUGUGCUAUCGCCGAAGCUGACCGAGACGCCAGCGAUUACUGGAAAAACUAUUGGGAGAAAACGGUUGUAGAACUUCGCUCUUCAAGAGAAAAAUGUUAUAAAAAAUCCAUAGAAUGUGUGGGAAAAAUAAAAACUAGCUUCGCCAAUGUUGGCGCAUACUACAGCGAGGACAAUUUCGUGAGAGGCGAUCCUGAGGGCCCAAUUGAUUGGAUCAACAACGAAACCGAAGCUUUUGAGGAAAUUUUGAGCGGUCCUGGGGAUGUUUGCGCGUUCUCAGGUGCCAGAGGAAUUGCGGCUAUUUUGGAGAAGUCAGGUUGCGAGCAUGUGAAAGCUUUGGCCCAAGCCGAAGCUACUUUAUCUAUUGAUGACACGAAGGACCCCUCGGCUGAAGCGAGCUUAGUUGGUGGAAAGUUUUUCACCGACGUCUAGGAAAAUGGCGGCCUAGGGAUGGCCCACGAAAUUAUAAAGAAAAAUGAAAAAGAUACUCACGAUGCUAGAGAAGCAACAAAGGCAGCUAAAAAGACUGCAGAACUCGAAAGGCGGAUAGGUAUUGCCUAAUUGCUUUUAUGUUUUAUUUUUGUGACUUCGGACUUAUUUAUGUUUUAUAUCGCAGUCGAACUAUCUCCUUCUCCGGAGCCCUUCGAGUCAUUGGCCGACCCCGAAGCAAAAAAGGAAGAUGAGAUUACUAAGAUGGCCGAAGCUAUUAUGGACGAAGCUGUUACUCGACUACUAAACGAAGCUGCGGAAGCAGUUUUAAAAGAAGAAUAGCUAUUAUUGUAAAAAUAUUUGGAAUAUUAAUGUAAUAUUUGCUGAACAAAGUGUGUAAUAUUUUGUAGUUUUGAAUGUAAUAUAUAAGCUGUUUGUAAUUCAAUUCUUUACGAUGCAUGAAACUUUAUGUAAAUACCGUUUUUGAGCCUUCGGCGAAAAAAACACCUUCCCUUCUUUUCAUGCUUCGUGAAGAAUAUCCAUAUUCCGUAAAAACAUUAUCACUACAACAAAUGUGACCUUCUGUGAUGAAUAUGCUAUGACACGAGUGAGAAUCAUCAUUAAAUCGCUUUAUUUAUGACGAUUUCUAUGAGACAUCUAAGUUUAAUGACAAAUAAAUAACCAUUGUCAUUAAAACUGUCAUAACCCAUUUUAAGAUGCUUUUUGUGACGAUGAUCUAUGACAAUAUGAGUUUGUCAUAAGAAUAAAUUGCCGUAGCUUCUUGUACACCAUAAUUGUGACAAUUGUAUGAAAGCUCAUUCGUCGUAAUAGUCAUUCAUACACAUAAACUACCUUUAGUUACUAAAAAACACUUAAUAACUAACUGCUCUCGUCAGUUGCGUCAUUAUACUACUAGGCCUUUGGCUUGCAUUCUUUACAAAAAGAUAAUAGAAUGUGUGGAAGAGGAAAAAAUCAUUUGGCUUGCAUUUUUUAGUCGCCCAAAAAAAUUGCAGCCUUUCCACCAAAAAUGGUAACGGCAGCAACCCCCCACGCAAGUUUAUGAGAUCCGGUAAAUCCUCCACCCAUCGUCAGUGCCAAAUCAGUUCCCUUCCGUGCCUAAUUCACCUUCCCAUCCUUGGCACUAGCGGCUUCGUAGCCUCCAAUCCUUCAGCCUCUCCAUCUGAUUUGGCGCAGAUGCCUCCAGGGAGGAAGGGGCAACGAUGCACAAGGGAAACCCCAGGUAAAUUCCAAUCACUCUCAGAUUCGAUAACUCCAAGUCUCGUCCCUUUUCUAUCUCCUUGACAAAGACUCUGCCUGUAGCGAGCUAUCAAAGGGCCGACUUCUCCAUGUCUUCCAUAUCUGGCUAAUCUGCCAUUCAAGCAGUCAUGUGCAAAGGUUGUAUUGGAUAGUUUAUUUGUAGCGUGUGCUUUAUGGUACUCCAAUAAGAGACAUGUACUUCUGAAUUGUCUUAGGAAUGCAAGAUUGUCAUUUAUUAUAAGAUUGAUGCAAUAGUUUCAGGGUACAAACGAAUAUGAACAAUGCAGUUUCUGAAUUGUUUGUAGCACACUGAGACUGAUAUGAGGCAGAUUGUAGGGUAUUUCCAAGUCUAUUGCAAAAGGGAAUGACGAAUGGCCUGAAGCCUCAUAUAGGAAAGUGAUCACUACUAAACUUAAGCCAAAAACAUAAGUCUCUGGUCUCACUUUAGCUAACAAUAAUAGAAUAUAACCAAUGAUGAAAUUCGUAUCACUAAUAAAUCAAAAAAGCAAGGUGAGUAGAAUAUAAAACUAGAUGACACGCUUACAGAUUUUUAUAUUUGCAGUAUUCAUAUGUACAUUACACCAUUUGGAGAGGGCAAAGUCUACCUUACAUAUUUGCAGCCCUAAAACUACAACUGAUGGCAUGCUUUGAGUUUGUAGUAAUUCUUUGUACAUUACACCAUUUGAUUAUUCAUCAGAGCCUCAGUUUUCAUCAUCCUUUACUCCUUCAGCAUUUGUAGUUUUUAUGAUCUGUUUGGUAUGAUGGGAUCGCUGGGUAUAAAAUGACAUGUAUUAAUUGAUUUGAAUUAUCACAUAAUGUUUGGAAGUCUACCUGAGAUUCUCUUACACUUGAUCGGCUAGCAAUGGGCAUAAUUUUCAAUUUUUCAUUAGUGGUAUAAAGUUUUCUAAAACCAAGGUUGGCUGAACAGAAUGGAAGAAAAUAUCCAUGAUUAGAAAAAAAAAAGACAACAAAUAACCGGCCAUGCUCACUUGUUUUCUAUUGAACUUUUACAAUUAGUAGAGUACGCAUAACAUAAUUCAAAUUGGUGUAAUACUCAUCAUAUCCAUACAGAUAUGAGAUGCCCAUAUGACAAACAUAAUGAAAUGGAAUUGAUUCAAACAUUUUGGUAGACACAAAACUUAGCUGCAUCGGAAGCUCUGCAUUAGAAGCUCUGAUUAGACACAAAACUUAGCUGCAUCGGCAGCAAAAUCAUUGCUAUUUAAUAGGUGCAUCAGAAGCUAUUUAAUACCUAUCUUCUUCACCUAACCUCUCUUCCUCACCCUCCCUCAUAGCAGUUGGCUGUCGUGAUCCGGUGACCUCCCCACGAAAUUCCGAAGGUAAUUUUGUUUAGUUGCUCCUCUCUGUUUGUCACUUCGUGAAGCAGUGGGAUCUAGGUUAGGGAAGCUUUUUCUCCUUCAUGUCCAUGGCGGCUCACGAGCUCUGUCCCCAACCUUCCCGCCACCCAUGCCUCCACCAUCUGUCGCCUCCUCUUCUUUGUCGUCUGACUCGUCCUCAACAUCGCAGCGCCACCUCCUUUGCAUUCACUGUCUCCACUAGCAGCUUCCACCAUCCCCUACCACAACCUCUGCCUACUAUUGCCUUCCACUGUGUCCGCGUGAAUGACUCGCUCUGAGCCUUCAGCGGCCUCGCUCGAAAAAUUCUCCGCCGGCGACAGUGAGAAGGUGCUCGCUGUCGUCGGCGUACACACGGCGACUUCUCCGCGCUACUUGCUUCCUGCCCAACCCCGAACCUCCAUAAGCUUUGGAUCUAGGUAGAUUCAUGAUGUAGAUUGCGGCUGCUCAUGUCACGUAUAUACUAGAAACUUCUAGCUAUUUUAGUAUCUAGCUGCUUGCCUACUACCAUGGUGUGAUCGGAUAAGAUGUUGCUUGUGUGUCUACCGUUCCCUGCAUUUCCUGCUAAUAUGGUGCUUGUAGCUUUAGAUCUCUUGGCUAUAUGCGCCAAUUGCAAAUGCUCACUAUUUUAGAAUACAGUUUUUCAAUUGGGCAUAGCUAGGUCGAUUUUAUUCAUUGUCAAACCAGACAGGAUGUUUUUUUAACAUUGGGUGGUGUUAAUCAAAGUUUAGGAGUUUAUAACAUUGGGUGGAGAACUUUAUCCUUCUAUAUAUAACGUUUUGGACCAACCAAGAAAUUGACACAAGAUAUCAAGUGUUGAAUAUAAUUGAUGCAUUACAUUAUCUUCUUUAUUGUGUUCGAUACCUUUUUCAUUUAUUAAUUUACAUUUUAAAUGUACAGAAGACCCUCGUACCGAAUACGAGAAAAUGAGGGAUGUGAAUAUAAUGAAGAACAAUCAAUUACUUUUGGGUUCGCAAAUAAUUUGAUAUGAAUAUGCUUAUUGUGUUGUACAUAUAUUUAGGAAUUCCAAGCUCGUAAGAGUGUCAUUACCCACAUCUCCAAUGAUGGUGAAUAGAUGUCAACAAAAGUAACAAGAGGAAAUAAAAGAAUUAUGGCACCUGUCUAUUUAUAGCUUCAUGAUUUUUUGCUUGUUAGUCUGUGUUGCUUUGUUUGAUCAACCACUCUUGUUACAUACAAUCCUCUUGGUGUUUCUCAAAGAAAGCUACUAAGUAUCUAGGUGGUAUUCACAUUUGUAGCAGUGUGGCAUGAUCUAGAAUGGUGUCUUCUGCAUAACCCUAUAUCUGACAUGAUUGCUUACUUUGUUGCAACAUCAUAUGUUUGUUUUUUCUUACUUCAGCUACUUAUUCUAAGUCUAUAUUAUUUUUACAUGCUUAUUUGAUACACAGGAAAGUUGUGUGAAGAACAAACUUAAUCGUGAAAAAGUACUGUAUCAACAAUGCACAGGCUCUCAAUCCUACAUUGCAAAGGUUAUUAUAUUGGUAAGAAAAUAACCAUUGUUUUCUUAUCUGCAUAGUUGAAUGAUACGUGAAUGUGUAAUAUUGCCAAUAGAGUCAGUUUAUCAUCUCUGGUACCUCAUAUAGUUGCCCCUGGUUGUUUCAUUUGUGUUCACUUACAUUUGUUGAUUAUGCAACAACCUUUAUUUUAUGUGCAUAGUUGAAUAAUCUAUGAAUGUGUAAUGCUACAAAUGAACACCCAUAACCAUUUAAAGAGGUGGUUAUUACGUGUGCUUGCCUCCAUUAAUCAGAGAUCAUGUCUCCUAAAUCAUUUUUAUUGUAGUGUUAAUAGUUGACUAACAGUUCAUCCAACAAACUAUAAUGUUUUAGGUUGUAGCUACGUUACCUACAAGUAUCCUGAUCCUCCUUAUUUGAGCAUUGUGCAGCAGCUCCUCAUGCUCUUUCUCUAAAAAGUCCAUUUACAUAUACAUCAAGUACUGAAUAGACAGAACAAUAAUAACAGAGAAUGUAUAGCUUGUUGUUUUUCUAUUUAUGUAUUCGACUCUAACAUCUAUGUUUCUGUAAUCGACUCUAACAUCUCUCUAGCAUUUAAAUAUGUGUAUACCUUGCUAAAGCAUUUAGAUAUGCAGUAAUCGACUCUAACAUCUCUGUUUCUGUUUAUGUAUACCAAAGCACAAAUUAACAUCUAUGUUUGCUCAUAUAGCUGUUCCUGACUGCUUCAUUUACUGUUUUAUUUAAAUGCUUUAGCACUGUUCAUAUCUAAAAUGCAUUUUAAAUUGUUAUUUUGAAAUCCUAUUGUAUCUUAUUUCAAGACCUCCAUUCUCACUGGACUCAUUUUAUAUCAUUUCAGAAGCAAGAAAAAUAUAAGGAUGCGGAACCUAAUGCAAUAGAUCUUUUCAAGGAGAUGCAUUGCUGCAAGAAGAAAUGUUUUAGUGAAAAUGUUCAAAAAGAUAUUGUAAGUGCUUGUUUUCCUUUCAUGUUUGUACUCACAACUUGCAACUUGUGGUAUACUGUACUGAUGAAUAACCUUUAAAAUUUAUAUUAGGUUCACAUGGAAGAAAUGGUAGCAGCGCCAUUUCAGGAUGGACAACAACCAACAUCUCCUACAGAAGUUGUUUCUAAUGUGCUAUCGGGCUCCAGUGUGUUUUUACGCAAUGUUGGUCUUCAAUUCGCCUCCAAGAAAAGCUCCACGACGAUUGUUUCUGCAAUGGCUCAACAACUUCAGGAUGAACUGGAGAUCGAGAAGCAAGAAAAAGAUGGCUUUCAGGAAGAAGUGGAAACCUUGAAGGCUUAAGCACAAUCAUCUCAGGAGACCAUUGAUAGUAUGAAGAGGUCGAUGGAAGAAAAUAACAACCUCCUUCGUCAACUAUUAAGCUUCAAUCAAGGCCAAGUGCCUCCAUCUUAAGUCUAGUUGACCACUAUAGGACCUGCAGCCUUAUGGCUGUUAUAGUGGCUAGUUACAGCUCUAGAUUUAAAGUUAUAGGAUCAUUUUAAAUUAUGCUUAAUGUUUAAUACUUUGAGUUGAAGUUAUUGGAUUUGUUUUGGAUUUUAAGUUAAAGGAUUUGCAGAUAUAUGUUUUAAAGUUAUAUUAUUCUCUGCUAGAUGAAAUAUUUGUGUUGAACAAAUUCAUAUGAUAUUUUGGUUGUGAUGUGUAAUAUUCUAUGAUGAUAUGAAUGCAUAUGAUGUGUUCCUUGCGAUGACGAUUGUAUCUGUCACAAAUGGUUCGCCACAUCACUGACCAUGUCAUCACAUUUUAUGACGAAUUUUUUUCACAAAUGCAUUGUCACGUAAGCGGCCAACGCCUUCUAAUUUGUGAUGAAAUUCUUCGUCACAAUAAUUUUGGCACGUCAUCUGCCACGUGACUUGCCAUGUCAUCGAAUCUAUGACAAAUAUUUUCGUCAUAAAGGUUUUGCCACGUCACAUACUACGUCAUCACCAUUAGCCACGUGGCAAUGCAUGUCAAUACGAAUUGUGACGUUUUCAAGGGCACUUAUGACGAAAUAGAGUGUCAUAGAUUUAGUGACGAAGCUGGUAUGCGUCAUAGAAUCUAUGACGAUUUUUUGAUCAUCGUCAUAGUAGGCUAUUUAACACGCACCUUCUGUGACGGUGGCAUUUUCAUCACAAAGACGUCACCAAAACAUAACCUGUGACAAAUAAAUACUAGUUAGUGACAUAAUAAUUAUGUCACAGAAGGCCUAAAAGGUUGUAGUGAUAUGCUUCGUACGCAAUAGAUCUCCUUUGAUAUUAGAGUUGAUGAAGCUGUACUUCUUCAAAACUUAUUUUGUGCCUUGGCACAACUUCUUCGAAACAAUUUCCGAGGAUCAACAUUGUAUCCCCUUCUUGUGCCAUUGAUGCAAUAUGAUGUAUGAUGUCAUGUUAUGUGAAUGAUGUGAUGAUGUUAUGCUAUACAAAAUGAUAUUUGUGCCGAAGAUAUACACACAUUCCCACAGUAGAACACACAAUCUCUUUGCCGUUUAUUUUUCGGCUUCACCGCUUAUUUUUCGGUGUAUCGGCGUUGACUUUUCGCUGUAAGUUCUGCAUUCCCUUAGGAACGUCUUUUGAACUUCUUCGCCUUCUAUUUCGGCGGUAUUCGCGUUGACUUUUCGCGCUUUGCCUUAUAUUUCGACGGAAUCAACGUUGACUUUUCGCUGUAAGCUCUGCAUUCCCUUUGGAACGACUUUUGAGCAGAAAACUUAUGUUGCGCUCCCUUAGGAACGACUUUUCGUUGCUUCGGUAAAACUUACGCUGCGUUCCUUAGAACGACUUUUGUUGCUUCGGUAAAACUUACGUUGCGUUCCUUAGAACGACUUUUGUUACUUCGAUAAAACUUACGAUGCGUUCCUUAGAACGACUUUUGAGCUUCACCGACUUUUUGAACUUCAUGAGUCUGUGAAGAAGGUAUAUUAUGCUAUGACAAUAACGAAGCUAUUAAAAUAAAUUGAAAACAACAAAAGAACUAGGCUUUCAAUGAUUGUUCCUUAUUAAAAAAGAAAAUGAUGACGAAUGCAAAAACUGUUUUAGAGGUAGGAUAUCUCUUAGUAGAUGUGCUUCGAUUCUGGCACAGUACUAUUGACUGUGCGAGCUUCGGACUGCUCCCUGAAGUCUUGCUGGUGGUGAGUAUGCUGGCUCCCUUCUGGCUACUGGCCUUGGGAAUAUGCGGGUUGCAUUGGUGGUGGAGGUGGAGGCUGUUGCCAAGAUGCCUGAGGUUGGCUUGCCGAAGCAACAGAAGCUGCAGAAUGGUUACCCACAUACUCUGGUAUGUACGGUGAAUGAUACGAAGCAGUAUGCAUAACUUGCUUCGGCUGGUUCUGUUGUGCUGCAGCUUCUGCUAUCUCCUUCUGUUUCUGGAUGGUGACAUGGCACAUCCUUGUAGUAUGGCCCUUGUCCUCACCGCAGAAUAGACAAUAAAUCUUCCUGGGCUGAUCCCCAAACAUUCCUCUGAAGCCCCUGGCGCCUCUGCCCCUUGGAGCUGGCGGCCGAAGGUAGCUUUGUUGCUGCCCCGAAGCCUGCGAGGAAUACUGUGGCCUCUGUUGCUGGCUUGCUCUGUCGUCAUUCUGGGUGGAGUGAAUUGAUCUGACAUGCCUUGGAUGAAUCCUUCCUCCGAAGCCCCUGGUCAUCUUGGAGAAUCUGUAGGCUUCCUCCCUUCUUUGACGAAAGUCAUUAUCAACGCGGAUGUAUUCAUCCAUCUUCUGAAGCAAUUUCUCCAGGGUCUGAGGGGGCUUCCUGGCGAAGUAUUGGGCCGUAGGUCCUGGCCGAAGCCCCUUAAUCAUGGCCUCAAUGACAAUUUCAUUGGGCACUGUUGGCGCUUGUGCCCUCAGACGCAAGAAUCUUCGGACAUACGCCUAAAGGUAUUCUUCGUGAUCUUAAAUGCACUGGAACAAAGCUUGAGCAGUAACCGGCUUCGUCUGAAACCCUUGGAAACUGGUGAUCAUGUCCUUCAGCUUCUGCCAUGGUGUGAUUGUUCCUGGCCGAAGAGAGGAAUACCAGGUUUGUGCAACAUUCUUGACUGUCAUGACGAAAGACUUCGCCAUGACUGCAGUAUUGCCUCCAUAUGAAGAUAUGGUAGCUUCGUAGCUCAUUAGAAACUGCUUCAGAUCUGAGUGUCCGUCAUACAUGGGGAGUUGGGGUGGCUUGUAAGACAGGGGCCAAGGUGUAGCCUGCAGUUCUGCUGACAGAGGAGAAGCAUCAUCAAAACCAAAAUUUCCAUGAUAGAAAUCCUCAUACCAAUCAUCCUCAUUGAAGAAGCCCUCUUGGUGAAGAUCUCUGUGUUGGGGCCUUCGGUUUUGCUCAUCUUGAGCAAGAUGACGUACUUCUUCAGUGGCUUCGUCAAUCUGCCUUUGUAGGUCAGCUAGCCGAGCCAUUUUUUCCUUCUUCUUUUGCACUUGCUGAUGAAGCAUCUCCAUAUUCCUGAUCUCUUGGUCCAACUCAUCCUCUUGGAGUGUUGGACUGGUGGCCUUCCUCUUCUGGCUUCGGGGCUCUCGAAGAGAAAGGGUCUCCUGGUUCGGGUCCAGCGGCUGCAGAAUGGCAGCCCCUGCCGCUGAAGCUUUCUUUGGUGGCAUGACGAAGGUCGAUGCUUGCCGAAGGUGGUCGAAAAGGGUUCACCGGAGGUGGACGCCAAUGUUGGGGACUUGUCCUUAAAUACUAUGAAUUAAGAACAAGGCAACACAAAAAUUGUUAAAUGUUAAAGUCCUUCGUCCUUCGAAGCAUUAUUUCCCUUGGGAUAUAAUGAGUUUCGGACGAAGGUUAUGAAGGACAUACCUUCAUCAGCACAACAAAUAAUGAAGAAGGAUUCAUAUAAAGUAUAAGAAAUAACAUAAAUACUUAAAUAUUAUUAUUAACUUAUUUCUAUUUUAUUAUUAUGGAAAAAUAGAAAUGAUAACAAAUUACAAAUGUACCUUCGGCUUCAAAGAAGGUAAAAGUACAAGCGUGACGCAAAAGCAAAUGCCAAGUCAGCGUGAACAGUACGGGAGCACUGUUCAUCUAUUUAUAGGCACGGGACGCAGCCCAUGUAAAAUUACACCCAUGCCCUUUACAUUUACUAAUAACUCUAUAGUAAUCCAUCGGGGUCUAAAUAGCCUUUUCCCCUUUAAGUCGGUUUCCUUUUCUGCUAUUACACCGAAGCUCCCCUGCAUAUAGCUUCGGCUCUGCGCCAUCCUUCAUAUUCUUUGUGCUUCUUCACACUGUGGUUUUGACCUAAGUCCGAAAGUACCUGUUCAUGUAUCAUACUCCAAAAACAUUGUUAAAUCAUGUUUUUGAGGACCUUCGGAAGUCGAAGGCCCCCAACAAAGUAUGUCCUUCUUGACCUUUGUCUGAUGAGCAUUAUACCCAUGUGGAGAUAAUGUUUUGGAAGACGAAGGUCCUUAAUCUUUAACAAUUGUGUUGUCUUGUUUUUGAUUCACAACAUUUGAGAACAAGUGACCAACAACUUGCCUUUUACUAUAAAUCUUCUCAUCCCACGAAUUGGUGACACCUUGAGUUACACAUGGUCACCCUCUUCAAACUCUAGUGGUCUUUUUCGAUUAUCAGCAUAGCACUUCUUCCGGGUCUGUGCUACCCUCAAGUUCUCUAGGAUCAUACGGACUUGUUCCUCUGCCUCUUGUAUAAUUUCAGGCCCAAAGAACUGCCUUUCACCAGUCUAAUCCCAAUACAGAGGAGUUCUGCAUUUUCUGCCAUAUAAAGUCUCAAAUGGUGACAUCUUCAAACUGGCAUGGUAGCUAUUAUUAUAAGAGAACUCAGCAUUGAUAGACUCUUGUCCCAACUACCUCCAUGCUUAAGGGCACAAGCUCUUAACAUAUCCUCAAGUACUUGGUUAGUUCUCUCAAUCUGGCCAUCAGUUUGAGGAUGAUAGGCCGAACUGAAGUUCAACUUCGUAUCCAUGUUCUCAUGAUGGCUCUAAGUUCACCUCCUGGUGAUCGAAUUAAUAGUUUCUUCUUCAAGGAAUAGUUUGGUAUAUUAUGUUUUCCACAAAUGACUUUGUUACGAAGGAGUGAGAUGCUCCAAAUCAAAUAAAACUGAUGCAGGUAUGGAGUUAAUAAGAAACAUAUCAUACACGACGUCGGCAUCCUCAGGAACUGAUUCUGUUGUCACAUGAUUAACCCUUUCCCUACUUUGAUUCUACGGAGUCUUGUUCUGUGCAGAUCCACGAGCAGGUGUGUUCUGAUCAGUCUUCUGGUUUCUAUUCUUCUGGGGUGUCUGUUGAUUACGCCUUGGGAAGUUGUUAGCAUAGUGGCCAAGUUCGCUACACUUGAAACAACCAUUCAGUUGGACUAGGGUAGUUGUUUUGUUGUUCUUGGUCGGUGUGUUCACAACGCUUCCUUGACGAUUCUGCUGUUGACCACUAGACCUUUGACCGGUCUGAGUGUUGUUUCUCUGUUGGUUCUGAUAUUGGUUGCUCCUCUGACCUUGUUGUCCACAACGCUGUACUUGGUAGUUGCUGUUCCCACUCUAAUUUCUGGAGCGGAACUAGGAACCCUGGGAGUUGUUCUGACGGGUAUUCCUACUGGUCUACCCUUGGUACUUUCUCUUGUGAUCCGACAACUCUUUCCUUUUGCUUUCAAGGCCAAUUGCCUUGUUAAGCAAAGUCUGGAAGUUGGGAAAGUUGUGGCUCUGUAACUUGUAGUUCAAAUGCCCAAUCAAGCCUUCCAAGAAACGUUCUUUGCGCUUCUCGUCAGUGUCCACUUCUUCUAGGGCGUAACGUGAAAGCUGGGUGAAGCGAUCACGAUACUCACUAACAGACAUGUUCCCUUGUGUGAGGGAAAGGAACUCCUUCUUGAGCUUCAUGAUUUCCGGGGGAAUAUGGUGAGCACGGAAGUUCACUUGGAAUUCCUGCCAGGUUAUGGCAUCAGCAUUAGCAUGUGUCGCGGUGAAGACAUCACACCAAUCGGACGCGGCACCUUCGAGUCUUCCUGAAGCAUACAAGACCUUUUCUCGGUCAUUGCACUAGGUGAUGUCCAGUUUCUUCCUGAUGACCUUAAACCAGUCAUCAGCAUCCAAAGGGUCUACUGCAUGCGAGAAAGCAGGCGGGUGAUGGCUCAUGAAAUCCCAAUGCUUAUCUCUAGUUUGUGGUGCUUGUUGUUGUUGAUGCUGGUGCUGCUGAUUCUGUUGAUUCUGUUGUAUCUGCUGCACCGAAGCAGUGAGUCCUUGCAGAAGCUGCAUCUGCGCUGCGAGGAAUUGCUCCAUAUUGGGGUUGGGUGGCGGUGGUGGCAACUGCUGACCACGCUGGUUCUGGUGGUUAUUGGGACCUGAGAGAGUGUUCACCAUCUGUUUGGUUAGAAAGUGCAAUUCCGAGGUAAGUGAGGAGUAGAGAAGAUUCUAGGGGGAAUAUCUCAUUAUUAAGUUUGAGUUUAUUAUAUAUGUUCUUAUGGCCAUCAUUCCAUAAGACCAUUGCACUCAAGCAAAAAUCGAACUCAAACAUUUCAAAUAACACCAUCACAUGGUUGUUAUUAUUAUAAGCAUAAUAUUAUAAAGAUGUUCAUCGUCUAACGCGAAAUAUAACUUAUUACAAUAUAAAUGAAAAUUUAUAGCAGCCUGGUGAUAGAUCCUGGUUCUCCAUAGCGGAUCCUCUUGCGGGGAGGGGAUAACGUCAUGGUAGAGACUUGAACUUUAGGGGGAUUCCUUCCAUCAAGCUGAGCUUCCAGGGCUGUGAUCCUUGCGUGUGCAUCCUCCAGCUCCAAGUGUACCCUAGAGAGGUCCAGGGUAGCACUAUCCAGGUCGGUGUUAAGACCUGCCACCACACCAGCUAGGGUGUUGAGGCGAUCUUCUCCAGCUCCACCUGGAACAAUGUUGGUUUGGCUUUUUCCACGAAUACACAGAGAAAUAUGCCUGUACUUCGUGUUGUGCAGCUGCUGCCAGUAGGUGUGGCUGAGGGACCACAGAGUUCGCCUAGCAGCAUCGUUGUCCGAAGCAGCGUAGGUGGAUAGCGGUGUCAGAGACUCAUGAACUGAUAGAGUCCUGAAGUCUCUAUCACCUGCAUCCAUCACCCUGACAUGAAUGCGAGUGAUGUAGUAGCAAGCCUGAGGAGGAUCGUACACUCGCCUUGUCUCAUACAGGGGUCGGACGUAGGUUCCCAACGCAUGCAGAACAUCCUGCAACAGGUUAGGAAGUGCCCUGUCUCGAACAUCGAUGUAUAAUGUUCAGUGACAGGCCAUAACCUCAUGUAAUGGUCCUGUUGUUCAUCGUUGGCUUCUUCGUUGACGUUCUCCGCUUCUUCUUCUUCGUCGUCUUCAUCAUCGUCACCAGAGUCGUCCGGGUCGUUGCCUCUGGGAGCAGGGGCUUGGACUGCUGGUGCAGGCGGUGCUAAAGCUGACGAUCCAGUUGCGAAGGCUAGUGAUUGUGCCAACGGGGUAGGCGUAGGCAAAAACUCCUCUGAGUUGUCUUCCAGAAUAACUCUAUUCUCCACACAAAUGCGAGGGAGAUCCACAGGGAUUUCCUUGACUACCACCAGUUAGACGGGAACUUGCUGUGGCGGAGGGAUGUAGUUGGUGUUGGUCCGGGUGGUUUGGAUUGUACGAACCAUCUACAAGAGAAAAUGUCAACUUAGUUGAAUUUUAAAGAGGUAAGGUUAAUAAAAUAAUUUUGUAAGAACAAAAUUAUGAUGUUUUGAACAGACUAGGUUUUCAAUUUCUAACUAGUCUAAGGAUCUAGAGUCAGCAUAGCUUUGAUACCACUUAUGUCACACCCGGUUCUGGGGGCAAAACCGAAUGCAUAGCAUAUGUGGCCAGGAUCCAUUUUUCCAUACAUAUGUUGAUGUCACAAGUGUAAUAUGUCAAAAGACAAUGCAAUAAAGGCGAAAAGAGAGUAGAGUAACUUUAUUGCAUCAUCUGGAUCAUAGUAUCUUAAACAAGUUUCAUAAUCAAAUACGGCGGAAUUAAACAUGGACACUCUUCCACAGGAAGGUGACUAGCGCAUCGUUAGACUCAAAAUUCAUCAACGUCAUCUGCGAAGUCUUCGUCAUCACCCUCUGAUCAAAAUAUUAGCAAGGGUGAGCUCACUUAUGGUCGGGGCUCAGCAAGUGGGGGAAAUAACACAAGUUAACAAGGUAGGUUAUGGAUAAAUGGUAAACAUUUUAGUUGGUCAAUAUUUUAUUAGCAACACAUGUCUUACUAAUAAGUGUGUAUCCCAAAUUUCCCAAUUAAUCAAAGGCAUAAGAUUAUAUCAACAACACUUAAAUGAAAUCACUUAAGCAAACCACUGGUAGAUACUCAUAUCACGAUUUAUUUUCCAUCUUUAAGUUCAAUUAUCAUGUGAGGGUCCAGGUUGCUCUUAACCGUGAGCACGACUGACAUAUCAGUUUUACACUCUGUAGAGGUGGUACAACUUUACUCAUAAGCUGUGUAUCCCAUCUAGCCUGGGUUGAUCGGACCCAUAAACACUGCCGAGGUGAAUGGCUAGGGAUCCACUAUGAGGCUUUCACAAAACAUCCUUAGUACAAAGCCACCCGCUAAGGUUUCCACGUCAGUACUGAUGGCCCUCUGGGUGAGGUAUCUUAGCCAAGACUACCACCCCAUGUUAACAUGAGCUGUCACCAAACCAAUGCCGCACCUCUUGCCCAUCUUUCAGGUAGGGUUGCUAAGCACUAAGUCUAUAGAGCUAAUUACCAAAGCCAGAGCCAUUAUAGCACUCGUGGUUGCACUGUUAUCCUGGGUGGUCACUCCAUGUUCCAUUUAAUACAAAAUGUUCUUGUUUAACCAUCGGGUUAACAUCAUAAAUAAAUCUUCAUUUCUGGAACAUAGUAUCAUUAAAAGAGUGACAACAUAUUCAUCAAGUUGAGCAAUAGCAAAAAUUGUUAAGCACAACAUUUAUCCCAGGGUAAUUCAAGGAAUAGGGUUCAUAAUUCUAGGAAAUCCUUAUUUAGGCAAAUCCCAUCAAAUUAUGCAAUAUCCGAAAAGUAAACAUUAUUAUAUGCAUUAUUUAGGUAUAAACAGAAAUGCAGAGGUAGAAUCCACUUGCCUUACUCGAAAGUGUCAUGUGGGUUGUCCUCGAACGUGUUUGGUUCGUCUACCUCACAGUCAACUUCUAGCAUCGAUUUACGUAUCGUACAUACAAAAGAAUACGUACGCCAAAUAAAUAAACAUACAUUAUUAAAUGGGUAAUUAUUCAUCAUUACAUACACAUUCAUAUAUCACACAAUUAUACUCAUAGAUAUGUUUAAGGCAUAAAUAUUUAUUAAUCCACUAUAUCUUCCACUUUGAGUUAUCAUUGGUGAAAAUAUGAGUAGGUGACUACGACGCUAGUUUAUCUAGUACAAUAUAGAUAAAAUGUCUUAACAAACUUUACGUUUCUUUAUUACUUAAUAACAGUCCCUUGGGUUUUAUCCUUUCCUUUCUAAAUAGAAAUUAUACAUAUGGCUAAAAUGGUUAUUUAUAUAUUACAUAACAUUAAUAUUCCAAGGAUUAAUGUAAAUUACUAAUUUUGGACUUUAAUACCAUAAUCAUAGUUAUUUUGACAUAAAUAGAUAUUUUACUAAUUCUAAGUGAUUAAGUGAUAUGCAUACAAAUACUUAUAUCCUGAUUAGUGAAAAUAUAUAUUUUAACCUAACCGAUAAUAUGUGACCUAUUACUUCUUCCAUUUUCAUAUAUCAAUAAAAUUAUACUUAAAUCACUACUAACAAUAUUGUUCCAUGUGCUAAAGUGAAGUUAGCCGUAAACAUUUCUAGUAUGUAAAUCACCAAGUUAGUGAAUCGUGGCAUUAUUCAUUUUCAAAAUAUAAAAUAAUACUUAUGUCCAAAAUAUUGUUGCAGGGGCAGGUUCACAAUUAAGUGUAUACAUCGGGGUCUCUUUUUAAUAGUUUUUGAACUGAGAAAUAUCUGAACUAAAUGUACACAAAACCAGGGGUUAAAACGUAAAAUAAUCAUCUUCUACCUUGGGCUCGGUCUCGUGAUUGCGCAGGAAGCUCGACAGGGGGAAACGAACGAGCAGGGCGAGGUGCGACCGGGACGGGCGAGGCUCGGCGGUGUUCGGUGUGCUCCGGUGUGGCGGCUCGAUGAGCAGGGCGUGACUCCGGCGAACGACGACGCGACGAACGGCAAAGGCGCGGGCAGGGGAGAGGAGUAGAGAGCGCGGGUAGGGAGGGAGAGAGGAGAGCUCGGUCGGCUCCUAUUUAUAGAGACAGGAGAGGGAGAGGGAGAGGGAGAGGGAGGGACGUCGGGGAGGAGGUAAAGGCGUCGGUGGCUUAACUCCAUUAAUGGCGCCGAUUAUCCAUUGAUGGAGAGAGGGAAGUGGGGGAGGGAGAGGAGGAGGUGGCGCGGCGGUUUCCGGUGCAGGGAGAGGAGGGGACGCGGCCAGGGGCGCGGGGCGGGUCCUAGGCACGGCGCGGGUGCGCGCGCCUGAGCGGCGGCGCGAGGAAGACGAGCCGCGGGUGGGCGGUCUGCAAAUGCAAGAGAGAGAGAGGGUAGGGAGAUGGCACGACUGGCUGGCUGCCCUAGUGGGCCUCGGCUAGGCCGAAUUCGGCCUGGCCGAGUGAUUAGGGUUUUGUUUUGCUUUUCUUUUUUUGUUUUCUAUUACAAAUAUAAAUAAAUAUAUUUUCAAAUAUUUCUAAAAAUCAUAAUAAUUAUCCAAAAUUAUUUAUGACCAAAAUAUUUAUUUUUGGACCAAUAUUUCCAUAUUAAUUAGUUAGAUUUUCAAUAUAAAAGAAAUUCCACUAAAACAAUCAUCAAUCUAAUAGGAGCAAACAAAAAUUAUUCUAAAUGCAAUUAAAAAUCAAACACUUAAAAGAAAAUUUCAUUACUAUAUUUACCACUAAUAAUCUAAAUGCAUUAUUUUUGGUUGAUGGUUUUGUGAUGUUACAGGUAUCCGCAUUAAAUGCAGGUGUUCCCUUCCUGUUUUCGGACGCUUUUGCCUUAUCUUCCUAGGAUUAGCUCGGGCGAGACGGACGGAGCGGUGGCGACCUCGAGCGAGGCGGAGUUCUACCUGAGGUGGGAGACUUUUGGGGAGAGGCCUCAGUAUAAGAGCUACCUCGCCUGUUUCCCCUCGGGGGUUACGCCUUUACUUCUCCUGAGUGCGUUCUUCGGGGGAAUAAUUCGGGUAUCCCUAAUUAUCACCCCUGACAACUUUGCACAAAUCAGCUAUAUGAGAACAAAACACAGAUGAUUUGACUACAAUAUCAUCAAUGUAAACUUUUACAGUGUUUACCAAAAACUCGUGAAAGAUCAAAUUCAUAGUGCUCUAAUAAGUGGCACCGAUAUUUUUUAAAUCGAAUGUCAUGACAACCCAUUCAGAUAAACCAAUGAAGCAUGUAUAUAUAAAGGACAUUUUAGACGCGUCUUUCUCGGCCAUGAAGAUUUGAUUAUAUCCGGCAUUACCAUAAAAAAGCUAAUAACUCUAUUUCAUAAUGCAUUAUUAAUUAAUAUGACGGCUAUAGCCAUAGAAUAUUCAUCUUUAGGUGUUGAUCCAUUUAAAUUCCGGAAAUCAAUACAACUCUAAGCUUACCAUACUCCUCCACCAGCACAAUAUUAGAGACACACUCUACGUAUCUGCAAGGUCUAAUAAAAUUAGCUUAUAAGAGCCGAUGAAUUUCGUUCUUAAUCCUAGAGAGUAAGUCUGGACGAAUUGAUAUUGGUCUCGGCUUGAAGGGCCUGAAACCGGACUUAAUAGGCAACCGAUGCUCCUCUAGCUCUCAGCUUAACCCUGGCAUCUCGGUGUAACUCGAAGCAAAGCAAUCAGAAUAUUCUUUUAAUAAGCCGAUCAUUUCAUCUCUAGGAUUGUCUUUCAAGGUCUUGUUCACAAAAGUCGGCUUUUGAGUUUUACCAUCUCCUAUGUCAAUCUCCUCUAAAGGAUCGCCCGAUGUAAAUCGUUGUCCUAACUUGUCGAGAUCCCUAAAUUCCUCUAUUUUGGUUACUUUAGAGGAGUUAAACGCUCUCUGCGUGACUAUGGACUAUCCGGCCUCAGAGGUUGGAGCGUCCACGAUACCGGAAUCGCGCUAUGGCACUCUCUGGUAGCAGCCGGACUGUCCGGCCUUUUAGAGGCCGAACCAUCCAGGAAAGGGCCGAACCGUCCAGCCUCAGGCCGUCUGACCUUGGGGGCCGGACCGUCCACGACCUAGGUAUGCUCUCUUUAGAUGAAUUCAUUGUUUAACCUUUACAUGGGAUUUAGCCGAUUCUCCAUCAACUCUAGCAUUAUUUAACCUUUACAUGGGAUUUAGCCUAUGGGCGUAUCGUCCGUGGGUCGAACCUUCCAGUCCUCAGGGCUGGACCAUCCAGCCGUGACUAGUGCCACAAAUGGUGCUCAAUAGUUUGUUUGGUGGCCAAGGAAUAGGAGAGGAUUAAGGGCUUGUUUGGGAGAUAGGGAAAUGAAGGGGAUUAGAGAGCUAAAUUUCACUCGCUAUUUAAAAUUGAAUAGGGGGAGAUUUUAGCUCUCAAUUCCACUUGGUCUCAAACAUGAAGUUGGAAAUCUCUUCCUAUUCAAAAUAUUGAAUAGUUGCGCUACCAAACCAGCCCUUAGAUUCCGCCAUCACAUCUCUAAUAAAAAUUACGGUUUAGAAAAUUGUAAUGAUGUGGAUUCAGUCUGUACAAUUGCAGGAUUUGAAGCCUGUCAGUAGUGCAGCGCGGGUGAUCAAUAACAGAGGCAUAUCGCACACGUUGACGCGUACAAAUUAGAAUACAAGAAGUAUUUUCAAUCAAUUUAGCCCAAAAGGAAAUAACGACUUUUCGACCUCGCUUCCCAAAUCUGACGCUCUUUGGUCGGCCCACUAGGCGUCUAGGCCCAACCCGCCAUUCCAUGCGGUCAUCCAAUCCUAAACUAGGUUUGCCUGGCCUCACGGUCACGAGGACGUGAGGCGUGAUGUCUAGUGAAUAUAUAUGUAUAGAAAGCACGAAGCAUGAAAGCCCAACUAGAAGCACGUUUUUUGGCCCCGUACGAGCUCGAUCCGGACCGCUUUUAUACGGGCCUAGGCCAGUCCGGCACGAAUUAGCGGACCAGGUUCGAAUAGGAAACUAAGCAUGGUGGGCUAGCCUGGCCCGUCCCAUUUACCUAUAAGCCCGUCAAGCCUGCUUUUUGCACUAAAUCAUUCUUACCAGCCUGUUUUUGGCCCACUUUUUCCGUGCUUACCGAGCCGACCCGGCCCGUUUAGGCCUGCAGCGGCCCGAGCUCGAACAGAGGAACGAGCCCGCGGCUUAGACGGACCGGUCUGGCUUUCUAACAGUGCCUGGCGGGCCGGGCCCGGCCAGGCAGCCGUUUGGCCAUCUCUACUAGUGAACGUGCGACUCCCUCCAGCUCAGGGCGACUGGCUACUACUGAGCUAACUUAUACAGUAAAUUUCAGCAAAUAUAUCUCGUCCUCUAUAACAAAUCAAUUAUAUUAACAUGACAUAUUCUCUUACAAAGCAACUACCAAACAGAGGCAAUUGAGACUCCAAAGUUAACUCACUCUUGAUUCUGUUAAUUUUUAUUGGUGCGUCCAAGAACGAAGUCAGGCCCGUUUGGAUCAUUUGAAUUGAAUUCUAUUUAAUAAUCAUGAUUUAAGCAUAUAUCAAUUAAGCUAAGCUAAUUAUAUAGAAUAUAUUUAUAUGCUGAAUUUCUACUGUACGAGAGCGAGUCGAAGAGCAUGCCAUAAAUUAUAGAAUAGAAAUAUAAACUGGUGAUACAUAAAAUCAAUUUUUAUUCCUCGCUCUACAAAUUUAAGAUAGGCUUAUGUUUAAACUUUGAAAAAUGGUAGAAUAUCAAAUUCCAAACUAAAUAAGAUACUCUACUAAGUAGAUUCCAAUUCCUCUAAAAGAAUGGAUCUAAACAACCCACAAAGGAAAUUUAAUUAUGCCCUUAAAAGACCAGAUAGGCAAGAGCCGAGACAACAUCAAAACCACACCAACUAUAUCACUGAAUUGGCACAAGUAUGCAGACAAAAAAAGUUGAUCACAUUGUUCUAGAAUCUAAAAUUUAGGAAUAAGAUUACAUGGCUGGUCAUUAAGUAGUGAGAAUUAAAGAAUAACAUAAGGUAUAUAUACUAGACAACGUCUGAUUAGUUCAUAAGCAAGUAUUUCCAUUUUAACCAAUAUAUCUUUGUUGUCAAUUUCAGCAGGCUUAGCAUCAAUAACUACAAUUGCUUCCUCAAAAUAUAACUUUAUAAAGAGAGGAUUAAAAAAAGACCCCACAGGGUUACGGCGCGCCGGCUUGAGCACGACGUCGAGCAUCUUGCACAUGUCUUCCCCGCCACUGCCUACGUGACCGCAAGGCGAAGGUUGAUUAAGGCAUUGGAUAGGCCGAUUCAUGGAACCGAAGGAGACGAGACCGGGGGCGUAGUUGUGGCGACGACGGUGGUAGACGAGGACAACAGUGGUGAGGGAGGGUGACACGAGUGAUUGCUCGAAGGUGGCCUUGAGGACUACUAAGGAGGAGGCCUGACGCAUGAGCGGCUAACUAAUAGGUCAUUGAGGAUGGAGAGGAUGAGCUGCUCGAGCCUGACUUUAAUGGUGAGCAGGGGAUAUUAUGUGGCCUCGAGACAUCCCAGUGCUUCUGCGCUUAUGCUCGUUUUAGCGUCGCGAUAAGCGUGUUCAACAACGGCGGCUCUGAUUGUAAUAUCUUAGCCCUAGUGGAUAGUGAUAUCUUAGCCCAAGACUUAAUAGAAUUAAUAAAGUAUUCAUACCAACAAUAUGCAUCUUCUUUUUCGGAAGUAUGUCUUCAAAGAACCUCUUAGUUAAGUGUGCUUGGUCUACCACAAUCUUAGGACGGGUGACCGACCAGGAAGUCUUCUCGAGUGCGCAUAAGUGAGGACAAAGUGCGCACAAAAGACUCGUGUUGAUCUGUGGGGAUGGUCUAUGAUCCUAAAGGCUGCCAAGAGUAAAUAUCGUCGGUCGGGGAGUAGGCGUGGUGUUACAAAUGGUAUAAGAGCCGACCCUCGCGGUUUCACAGGCGUGUAUGGGCUAGGAGUUCGGGCAUAUGGCACAUGUGGGCCUGGAGUGGUCACAUGGAAAUAGCAUAUGACGACACUGGACACACAAUCGUGGCCAAGAGGGGAGGUUCCUAGCUUAGGGUUGACCGACAAGGACGUCGGUCUGCUAAAGGGGUGGAUUGUGAUAUCCUGCCCCUAAUGGAUGGUGAUAUCCUAGCCUAGGGCUUAAUAGAAUUAAUAGAGUACUCAUACCAACAAGAUGCAUCUUCUUUUUUGGAAGCGUAUCUUGAAGGAACCUCCAGAUUAAGAGUGCUUGGCCUAGAGAAAUCUUGGGAUGGGUGACUGACCGAAAAGUAUUCUUAGGUGUGCAUAAGAACAAAGUGCGCACAAAAGACUCGUGUUGGUCUGUGGAGAUGUUAUAUGAUCCUAAAGGGUUGCUAGGAGUAAGUACCGCCAGUCUGGGAGUGGACGAGGUGUUACACCGAUGUAUGUGUCGUCACUAUCACCGUGAGAAGCACACGUUUGAGGGAAGGGAAGCUUCGUGAGAGCUAGGAGGCCAUCUUGUCGUCAUCGAAGCCAUACAUCGAAGAGGAGUUGCUACACAGCGAGCACGACAAGAGGGUUCCGAGCUAGCACAGGAGUGAAUGUGCGGAGGCAGCGGUAGCGAGCCCACCACAUUUAGCAAAUGAAGAAUACAUCCUCUAUCGUAGCAGAGAUUUUAGCGCGACAUGCUGGAGGAAGAAAGGAGCCCAAACACUAAAUGUAGCGAACUGAACGGUUUAUUGUGUCCUGCUGGAGAUAGCUUAAAGUGUAGAAGACUUUGUGGAUAUAGUCUUAGAGAUGUUGCUAGAUGUUGCUCACUUGCAUGCAAUGAUAACGUAAACGGUAGACGAACGAUGAGGCUAUAUUUAGUGUUUAGACGUGUUUAAACGAAAUUAAACGGUCUAAACAAUUUUAUACUAUAGCAACAUUUUAGCAAGAUUACUUUCACUAACCUUUUUUGAAGUAAACACAAAGCUUUUGAUGUCCUCUCCAUCUAAACCAUGUACCUACAAAAGAAGGGUUCAUAGUUAGUAUGUAAUAUGUAAAUUUUAGCAAGAGUACAUGAAUAAAUCCACAUAUAUAUUUGGUUUAGCAAUACAAAAUUAUGAUAGAUGGACAACAGCUCAGACAUAACAUAUUACAUAUCCAUAUAACCAAAAUGACCAAUUCAAGACAACUAAACUCAGCCCCUAUUUUAGCUAAUUAUAGAACAACUAAAACAUGUUAGAAGAAGACAUAUUCAUGUAUAGAAUGUGUCAAGAAACCAAAGGAAAGAAGACAAGAUCGGGUAGAGAAGGUGAGGGAACCCUAACAGUAACAUACCAAUGCAGAUGAGCCUGCCACAUUUUGGGCCUAUCAAUAAAACUGCCCAAUAAAUAGGCUAAACAGCGUUUAAACCUGUUCCGUUUAGCUUGUUUUGACCGAACGUUGACCGUUUAAAUGAGUCAACUGUUUAGAGGACCAUCUAGGCCUUAAACUGCACGGUGUUCCUCCGUUCAUCGUUUAGACCCAUUUAAAUGGUCAUCUAAAACUGUUUAGGGUAACACUGCUUGCAUGAAAUCGGAGUUGGAUGAGGAAGAUCUAACAAAGAGAAGAACAUUGCAAAUGGAAGGACAGAGGUGGAAAAGAGAAGUUUUAGAGUGCAGAAGACUUUGUGAAGGUAUUUUUUUAUUCACUCAUGUGGACUCCACUAUAUACCUCUAACCCAAAACAAAUCAAAAGCAAAGAACAUGGGUAUGGGCAGAAGUGCUAGUAUCCCUAUCUAUUUCCUUUCCUUCUCUUUUUACGACAUGUACAGCCCUGAUCCCCUAGAUUGGUUUUCAAUGUAAAAGAGACAACUAAGAGGCUGCAUUAAUACAACUCUGAGCUCCUAAAUAAUAAAUAUAGUUAAGAGGCAAUAGGUAUAGAGAGUCGUGUAGAGACAGUCUUUUGACAAAGUGAACCAUCUCUUGUACUUUUUUUAUUUAGCUCCCUAAAGAUCAAUCAAGAGACCCUUUAUUAAAUGGUAUUGUACAUAUACCAUAUCCCACUAUAUUUCCUAUUCCCUAUCCAAUAUCCAUAGCUUCAUCCAAACGCCACUUAAACCUACACAGGUCUGCUACGGGCCUAAAUCCUCCCUCCCCAUUAAUCAGCCACGGCCCCACUAAGCCCGUUUGCCGCAUAAGCCCACCCCCCGGGUAGCUUACAUUUCAGUCCUAGGCACAGUUGCAGCAAAAACACAGCAAAUUUGUAAGCGAUGAUCGACUCUGAAAGACGACCGUUUGCUAAAACUUCAGCCAACCCCCCCCCCCCCCCCCCCCCCCCCCUCCCCCCGGGUUUUGAAAGCCAUCACCAGCUGGGAAACACUUCAUCUGGCAGAGUUCAGUAGACCACGGACCAGCCCAAAUUUGAACUGUACCGAACAUCAUAUUCAUGCCGGCUGGUCUGUCAACUAUUCCUCCAUAGGAUUUGACCGUAAGCAACGAUUCAGUCCUUGGCUGCAUCCAAGGCAACAAUUCAAAGAUCUCAUUUUCUUUCCGAAUUACUAUAUGUGAACCAGCUACCACCUCAUGUACAUGCGACGACUUUUGCACCACCUCACCCAUCUUUUUUCAACAUGAGUGGAAUCCAGUUCGCCAAAGUAAACAACGACCAGGCCAGAUGACCAGCGAACUUCUGUCCAGGCGUCCAGGCCAGAUGACCAGCUAUAAGGCACAUAGUUCUAGUACAAUACAUACUAGUACUAAAUACAAAAACAACAGUGCUUCAAUGCUUCAUGCACUGAUAUAUUUUCUAGAGCCAUACCAAAACCAUGAGGGCUCUAGAAACUUCGUUCACCCCGCUAUCAACGAUACUACUAGCAGCUUGUUCACUUAACUUUAAUCUGUACCGGCUUCUAUUAUUUCUACAUUGUUUUUGUCUCCAUGGAUUACGACUAUAGCAAUCCAAACAGCCUUGUUUUUUCUUAUUCAGAAGAUUACUGAGUUUUGCCAUUUUUUUCUUUUCUUUUGCUGAACCUUGAUAGCCACCGUCAAUCCUUGGAGAGCAAGGACAGUUUUGCCAAUGAGGAAAGACUGUGACCAAAAAUGACAGUUUGACUACUAGCAGCCACCAUUGUUAAGCGCCCACAAUCCUCUGCAACCAUAAGGAAAGUUUGACUAUGAGAAAGACUCGUACAAAAAGGACGGCUUGACUAAUGACUACUAUAGUAGCCACCAUGCUUUCAUGGAUUGAAAGAAACAUUCUACCAAAUCCUUGACAUGACGUGUCCUGGAACUUUGUGCAAACUUCCCAUGGGUCAGCCUCAUGCAAAUAAUAAAUCCUUCAUUUUAGCAAUGCAAAUCUGUACCAAGUCAGUCUCAAGUUUUGGAUAAGUAGUACCUACAGGUCGUGUGACCACACAGCAAAAUUAAAGAACUUCCAAUGUGCAAACCACAGCGCACGACCAAUGGAGGAGUAGAAAAGUACAGACAUGGUGGCGAACCAAAACAUUACCUUGUUCAUCCUGUCCGUAGGCCUUAGUAUUGCUGGAUUCACUGCUGGGGACGACGACCAAUUCGUCUACACCGGCUUCGCUAGCAGCAACCUAACCCUCGAUGGUGGAGCGACAGUCACGCCGAGCGGCCUCCUUGAGCUAACCAAUGGCACCGUUCGGCAGAAAGGCCAUGGAUUCCACCCCAGUUCGGUGCUCUUCUACGAGUCCUCUAGUGGUGCAGUGCAGUCUUUCUCUGUAUCCUUUGUGUUCGCCAUUCUCUCUACCUAUCCUGAGACUGAGAGUGGUCAUGGCCUAGCUUUCUUCAUUGCGCCAGACAAGAAUUUAUCGGGUUCAUUCCCAACCCAGUACUUGGGCCUCUUCAGUGACCAGACCAAUGGUGACCCAAACAGCCACAUCUUUGCAGUUGAGCUCGACACCGUCCAAAAUUAUGACCUACAGGACAUCAACAGUUACCAUGUUGGCAUCAACGUCAAUAGUCUACGCUCCAUCCGAUCCCAUGAUGCAGGCUACUAUGAUGAUAAAAGUGGUUUGUUCAAAGAUCUGUCACUCGAUAGCCAUGAGGCGAUGCAAGUGUGGGUGAACUACAACAGAGAAACCACACAGAUCAAUGUCACCAUAGCUCCCCUCAAUGUCGCCAAACCAGUGAGGCCAUUGCUGUCUGCUAACUACAAUCUCUCAGCAGUCAUCACUAAUCCGGCGUAUAUUGGUUUCUCAUCCUCAACAGGCUCUGUUAGUGGGCAACACUAUCUGCUUGGUUGGAGCUUUGGCAUCAACAGUCCUGCUCCACCAAUCGACAUUACCAAGCUGCCAGAGAUGCCUCGUCUUGGUCAGAAGGCUCGGUCGAAAGCAUUACAGAUAACUCUGCCAAUAACAAUUCUGGCUCUGUUCCUUGCUGCAAGCAUUACUAUUUUUUUAUUCGUGCGGAGGAAGCUAAGAUAUGCUGAACUACGUGAAGAUUGGGAGGUUGAGUAUGGGCCUCACAGGUUCUCAUACAAGGAUUUAUUCGAUGCCACAAGAGGAUUUAGAGAAGCUAACCUGUUAGGUACAGGAGGGUUUGGAAUGGUGUACAAGGGGAUUCUCCGUGGAUCCAGACUGAAUAUUGCUGUGAAGAGGGUGUCACACGACUCAAAACAGGGCAUAAAGGAGUUUAUAACAGAGAUUGUUAGCAUCGGCCAUCUUCAACAUCGUAACCUGGUGCCCUUAUUGGGGUACUCCCGGCGGAAAGGCGAGCUUCUCUUAGUGUAUGAUUACAUGCCCAAUGGAAGCCUCGACAAAUACUUGUAUGGUAAAGAGGGCAAGCCUACUUUAGAUUGGAAUCAAAGGUUCCAAAUAAUCAAAGGAGUAGCAUCUGGUUUACUCUACCUUCAUGAGGAGUGUGAGAAAGUCAUCAUACAUUGUGACAUCAAGGCAAGCAAUGUGCUCAUCGAUAAUGAGAUCCAUGGGAGGAUUGGUGAUUUUGGUCUCGCGAAAUUGUAUGACCAUGGCACUGACCCAGAAGCCACACAUGUGGUUGGCACCAUAGGAUACCUGGCUCCGGAGGUAGCACGCACUGGCAGGGCAACCCCUCUGACGGAUGUUUUUGCCUUCGGUAUAUUCAUUCUUGAGGUCACAUGUGGGCAGAGGCCUAUCAAGCAAAGUACCCAAGACAGGCAGGUAAUGUUAGUUGACUGGGUGCUGGAACAUUGGCAUAAGGGAUCACUUACUGAUACAGUGGACAUCAAAAUUCAAGGUGAAUAUGAUAUUGAUGAGGCAUGUCUAGCACUGAAGCUAGGAUUGUUAUGCUCCCACCCAUUCACUAGUGCAAGGCCAAAUAUGAGGCAAGUCAUGCAGUACCUCAACAAAGAAAUGCCAAUACCAGAGUUAACACCAAACUUAAGCUUUUCCAUGCUAGCCUUGAUGCAGAAUGAUGAGCUGAUAAUGCACUGUCCAUCAGAAAUAGGCUUCGGCACAAUAUCUACCAUCUCAGGAGUCAGGAGGUAGAUGACUAGAUGCUAUGGGGCUUGACAGUGGCAGGCACAGGUCUUCAAUGUUUGCAUGCACAGUUGCACACAUAGUCAAUGUUCCAUAAAGAUGAAGACAUGAAGUAAACUCUAUAAAAUAGAGUCGCUUAAUAUUUUUUUAUGCUCUUCCUUUGUCUGUUUUAGACUAAAUUACCCCAUUGUUUGUGUGCUCGUUAAAUUCAUCUUUGUCAUUCUCGAAUUAUAUUCAAUCUCAUUUUCAUUCAUAAACAUACAAUUUUCUUGUCAUUAAAAUAAAAUCCAUAUAACUGGACAAGAUUUCUCCAAGACAACGAGAAAAUACAUCACAAUCGCAGACAUAGUCAAUGAAACCAAGGAAAGUGACUGCAUUGAUGGUAAUGACUAAAUCAGAGCAUUUUUUGAGAUAUUUUAAAGAAAUGGGACAUGUACACGGACAGAAAGGGAUUUUAAUGGUCCAGAGCUUGACUUGAGAAACACACUAGAUCAUAACAUAAUAUGUGUUGUUUACUCAUAUUUGAGAAUAAGAGCUCCACUUAGUGUUAUGAACCACAACCACAUACCAUGCGAGGUGUGCAAUUGAGAUAUACCAGUGCUAAUAAGGCAUCUGGUUGAUAAGUGAUCCAUACGUAGUCAAAGGAAGAACUGAAUCAUAUCAUACAUCAAAAAGUAUGAAUCAGUUGUAUUUCAUAUAAUAAUAAAUCUAUUUCGACCUUAUUAACCGGCCAAUAUCUAGAUAAACUAAACACAGGGAGCAAACAUGGUCAGCGAGAUUAAUGAAAAUUGAAAGCAGUGAUUGUACAGAAAUCCUACCACAGCACGCAUUUCUUGAUAUAUUCCUAACAACUGGGACAUAGAGACAAUGGGCAAGGAAAUUUCAUUCUCAACAAAUUGUCCCAAGAGACACGAAUACUUGACACUAGACAUGUUGAUCAACCUAAUGAACAAGCACAUGGCCACUAUGUUAAGCUAUGAAAAUAACCAUGAAAGCAGCAUUGGAUUUUUAGUAGCUGAAAUUACUUUUGACCAAUAAACUUUUUCACUGAAAGUCAAGUCCUAAUGUAUUAGUUAAACUAAAAUAAGUCAUAACUAGCCAUCCAAUUAAAAAAAGACUACCUGCUCUCCACUGAGCAGGCCUGAUGCACUGGUGAGAAGCCUUUUUAUUGAGCCAAAGAUCCUAGGUUCGAUGCAGUCUCUCUGUAAAAAAUGCAUGUUAAGGCUUGUCUCGGUUAUUCCUUCCCCAUACCUCACUUAUAGAAGCCUCUAGCACUGGGUCUGUCCUUUUUACCUACCCUGGAGGUAGCAAGAACCAAAAGAGCCAACUGUAGUACAUUAAGAGAAAGAAGUCCUCACAAUGUGAAACCUUCAAAGAAAAUGUAUGGAAAAAAUCAACAGGUCAAAGUAUCUAGCAAAUGUUUGAACCUGAACAAAUAGCUAACUUCACUGAUUCAACAUCCACUGACAGUGACUCAAUUAUUGAAUGACAUAUGUCUUCGAAGAAAAGUAAACAUUAAACACCUUACCGGUUCAAUUCCACUAUAUAUUAACAACAAACUGAGACUAGAUGUAGAGGACAACUGCAAGCCCCAGGUAGCUCAGAAAAUACUUUGCUCUUGCAUCCUUCUUGAGCUACCACAAGUUACAUCCAUGCCUGAAAAGAAACAUAAGUGGCUCAUUCUAUACCAUCUUCUCUACCUUUCCAUCCUCAACUUUACAUCCUUCAUCAUUGCUGGUGAUCAAUUCGUCUACUCCAGCUUCAGAGAAGCAAAUCUCAGCCUAGACGGCACUGCCACAAUCAAACCAGAUGGGCUCCUUGAGCUAACCAACGGUAGCUUUAAUCUCAAAGGCCAUGCAUUCUACCCAACUCCUCUGCAUUUCCGCAAGUCAUCAGGUGAAAAUGUGAAAUCCUUCUCAGUCACCUUCAUCUUCAGCAUCCUCUCUGCCUACCCUGACAAGAGUGCAGAUGGCAUGACCUUCUUAGUCACAACAAACAAGAAUUUCUCUGAUGCAUUUCCAGCCCAGUACCUAGGACUCCUCAAUGAUCAGAACAACGGCAAUCCAAACAACCAUAUCUUUGCGGUUGAGCUUGACACCAUACAAAACAGUGAGUUCGAGGAUAUCAACGACAACCACAUUGGCAUUAAUAUUAAUGGUCUCCACUCGGUACAAUCCCAGGGUGCUGGUUUCUACGAUGACAAAAACGGUAUGUUCAAGAACAUGUCACUCAUUAGUCGUGAGGUGAUGCAGGUGUGGGUGGAAUAUGAUGGAUGGACCACACAGAUCGAUGUAACCUUGGGUCCCAUUAAAAUGGCUAAACCUAAUAGGCCACUAGUCUCAGCCAUCUACAAUCUAUCAACAGUUCUCACAGAUACAUCAUACAUUGGAUUCUCAUCUUCAACUGGUGUAAUUAACUCAAGAUAUUGCUUGCUUGGUUGGAGCUUCAGUAUGAGCAACACAACUCCAGAGAUUGACAUCACCAAGCUGCCAAAGUUACCUCGUGUUGGCUCCAGGUCACCAUCAAAGGUCCUGACAAUCAUUCUUCCAACAGCCAUUGCAUCAUUCAUCUUUGUUACUGGAAUCACCAUCAUUUUACUGGCACGGAGGAAAUUGGCAAACAAUGAGCUACAGGAAGAUUGGGAGGUUGAGUUUGGACCACAUCGGUUCACAUACAAAGAUCUGUUCCUUGCCACUGAAGGAUUUAAGAAUAAGAAUGUGCUGGGUGCAGGAGGAUUUGGGAAGGUGUAUAAAGGUAUACUUCCAACAUCUAAAUUAGAAAUUGCAGUGAAGAGGUUGUCACAUAACUCAAAGCAAGGAACAAAAGAGUUCAUCACUGAGAUUGUUAGCAUUGGCCACCUUCGACACCGAAAUCUCGUGCAGUUACUAGGCUAUUGCAGGCGAAAAGGUGAACUUCUAUUGGUAUAUGACUACAUGCCAAAUGGUAGUCUUGACAAGUUUCUAUACUGUGAAAAUGACAAACCUUCACUGGAUUGGGCUACAAGAUUUCACAUCAUAAAAGGAGCUGCAUGUGGCCUGCUCUACCUUCAUGAGAAGUGGGACAAAGUUGUAAUCCACCGAGACAUCAAAGCAAGCAAUGUGCUUCUUGAUAGCAAAUUCAAUGGACGGCUAGGAGACUUUGGCCUUGCAAAGUCAUAUAACCAUGGCACAGACCCACAGACCACACGUGUGGUUGGCACCAUGGGUUACCUGGCCCCAGAAUUGGUACGCAUGGGUAAAGCAUCCCCACUUACAGAUGUGUUUGCCUUUGGCACAUUCCUUCUUGAAGUGACAUGUGGGCAUAGGCCUGUAAAGCAAAAUGAGCUAGGUGAGCAUAUUAUGUUGGUUGAUUGGGUACUUGACCAUUGGCAGAAAGGAUCAUUGGUGGAGACAAUAGACAAGAGGCUAGAAGGUAACUGCAACAUAGAUGAGGCGUGCCUGGUUUUAAAACUUGGGCUCUUGUGCUCACAACCAUUCGCUAGUGCAAGGCCUAGUAUGCAUCUUGUAAUUCAAUACCUUAAUGGUGGCAUGCAGUUGCCAGAGUUCACACCAUCAGAUAUAAGCAUCAACAUGCUAGCCUUUAUGGAAAAUAGGGGAUUCAAUCCUUCCUUGAUUUCAUACCCACAGCUGACAAUGAGUGUUGGCACAAUGUCAAGCCUCUCAGGUGGAAGGUAAAAAUGAUUUGAGGUCAUUAAUCAGAGCAAUAGCAGGUUUCUUUUGUAUAUUACACGGGGUGAUAUCUAUUAUUGCAUAUUUCAGAAUUAAAAUUUUUAGGGUGUAUUUGAUUUGAGCAACCACCUCAUGCUACAUGACCUGUUGCAUCAUGAAUUCAUUACAGGGGUGUUUGGUUUGAAGAAUGAGUUAGUCUAUCAUCUAUUCAUUUCUCACUUUUUUGUUUGGUUUAUGGUACAGUGUUUUCAAGUCGUCUGACUAUUUGUGAUUAGUCAGUCUAAUCGGUACUCGGUAGGUAUCAACCGACCAGCCCCACCGAUGCGACUAGGCCGACCAAAAUAUUAGUAUUAGACAUGGGAUGACCAGUUUAGAGUUUAAACAUGACUGUAGAUGGGCUUUUGAAGCAGGGGAACUUGUAGGCUGCAAUUUGCUUUGUGGGCAUCUAGGGUUGAGAACGCUCAGGCAAGAACUCCAGUCCCAAUCUGCACAGGCGCACAGCCGCCCUCCAGCCUAUAGUCAGCACAGCAGCCCUCCAGUCGGUAGCUAUACGAUUAGGUUCAACUAGACGACUUGAAAACAUUGUUAUAAUGUUAUGUAUAAUAUGAUGAUGCACCAUCACCUCAAGUCAAUAAUUAAUACUAGUACAAGGAAUGAAGUCAUUCCAUCAUAAUUGAGGAAUUAACUCAUGAUGCACCUCAUAUAGGACCAUGCAUAUAUUAGUUAUUAGCUUCGAAGGAAUAAGGUGGUGAUGGAUCAACUCAUUCCAUCUUACAAACCAAACAAAAAAGUGAGGCGUGAGAAAAUGACAUACCACAGCAUUCCUUAAUCAAACACACCACAUGCUGCACUUGCAUAGCAGCGUGUGAUUAUGUAUCUAGAUGCUAUAUUCACUUAUUCAGUAUUCAAAUGGUCGAACCAAAGUACGCACACGGGGAACUGCUACCAUUAUCUUGUAAUAAAAUUAUGAUCAAACUAUAUCUUUUUAUUUGGUCAAUUUCCUUUACAAUACUGACUUAGACGCCCUAGUGCCUAAACCACACACGCAUCCAUAAGGUUCAGCAAUCACACGCAGAACCUCAACCAACUUGGGUACGGUUGUCUGAAAUCAGAAAGAUUGCAUCUUGAAAGAAACGGAAGCGUACCAAUUGUGGUUGAGCAGAGGACAUCAGGUAAGCAUCAUCGCUUCCUGGCUACCAACGAAAGCGUGCCCAUUGGCCAUCACGUGCACCACCGGCAGGACUACUGGUAGGCCGACGGCCGCCGCGCAAACUGCACCCUUGUUUAGAGACGCCGAGCCGCCGAGGGUGAGCCGCCGCAGGAGCAGAGAACGCGGCGGGCGGAAUGGGCGGAUCAGGGGCGGAGCCAGGAUUAC